This 56653-nucleotide long non-coding RNA is filed under the name Triticum aestivum (bread wheat). Its description in RNAcentral is "long non-coding RNA (TAES_LNC008762)". Lineage: Eukaryota; Viridiplantae; Streptophyta; Magnoliopsida; Poales; Poaceae. The record is from RNAcentral.
UUGCCAUUGGAGGUAGGCUGCAGAUGGCAGGUACAUUGCCACGUCGUAGUACGGUGGAGCCACUGCCCUGAAAGCGAUUCUACACCUAAGAUCGUGUGCUCCGACUAUAUACGCCAUUCAAUCCUUCCACAGGGUUAUGUCAAAAGAUAUUGGCUGCAUGAGUUCGGAGACGGGGAAGACGAUUGCAAGAGUGAAACUGUAAGCACAGCGGAAUGUGGGAACAAUGUGUGCUUACAAUCCUAGGACUGUAAAAUCCAGUUUUGGCAUUAAAGAAUUUUUGGAAGAAAUUUCGGAGUUCUUAAUACAGUGUUGCUAAAGCACAUCUAGAUGUGCCAUAAGUAUUGCACUUAUGUCCUUGAUCUUGCACGGAAGUUUGUGUGGGUAAUAUCUUUUUUCUUUUUCUUUUUCUUUUCUUAAUAAGGCUGUUGGAAGCCAAUUGGGCCUCUGGGGUUUCCUCUCUACAGCCCUCUGCUUUGGGUUUUUCUCCUUCACGCUCCCUUGUCUUAGAAAUAAUGCUCCCUUGUCUUGGAAAUAAUCUAAAGUGAAUCGAUAUUUUUCUUUUCUUAUCCUACUGGAAACCACAUGUCCUGCAUUAACUUAAUUAAAGCUUACCAAUAUUGUUAAACUUAAUUAAAUAUUGCCGAUAUUAUGUCCUGCAUUGAAAUCAAAUCAAAUUUUACCAAAACCUCAAUUAAAUUAAAAUGUUUCUUGCCUUCUUCUACCUAUACUCCAAUAUGAUGGGUGUAAGGUAAUAUGCUUGACUCGAUUGGUGUUUAACACUGAAAUAUAUAUGCCUCAUUCCAACACACGGACAAUUUUUUUUAACACAAUAGACGCAAACGCUAAUACAUACACAUAUACCCAUCCCUAUGAACGCAAUGCCCUAUCUCUAUAAACACCCUUGAAAGACUGAGCUGGCAUAUAAUUUUGAAAUUGACGAAGUUGCCAAAAACAUCUUCGCAGGCGACGGAACAUAUCCCACUGAACGCACAUCGUUCAAAGGCUAAAAUAAAUCAAGGAACAUGCGACCAUCAAUGCCAAGUCACAAGCAAUGUUUAAUGUUGAAGCAAUGAGGCGCCUCUUCCUUUCUGAAUAGUUACUCCCUCGGUUCCAAAAUAUAAAAAUGGUAUUACAUUUUAGGACGUUGGGAGUACAUCUCAAUUACUCGGACAAUAAUUUCAUAACUGAACCUGCACGAUUGAUGCUCUUGUGUUGCCAUGAUACAUGUUCUAUAGUGGGAAGUAACAUACAUGUGGUCUCAUGCAACACUUCAUUUAUUAAGUCAUAAACUCAUCUUGUUUUAAUAUGUGUGAUGCUACUCAUAUGGUGAAUAACUAGCUAUAUUACUCAAUUUGUCUCUCUCAUUAAUUAGCUGCCACAUCAUCUUUUUUCUUAGGUGUCAACUAUGUUACUCCCACUGUACUACAGGUAGUCUCAUGUGUGCUAGUCGUGAUGCAUGUUAACAUCGUUGAUUUGUGUUAAUUCAUGAUAUAUGUGCCAUCAGCCCAUCAUUUGGUAUUACCGCCACCUAGGGGUGUGCUUUUUUAGGCAAAUGUUACACAAGACAAGACCUUGAAAAGCGACUUCAAACACCAAAAACAAGCAGCAGCCAACAAAUCAGUAACAGCAUGUCCGUUACGACAGGCACGUUAGCAAAAGAAAAUAAACACGAAGCCAGGCACAUGGUUUACAACUGAUAACAAUUAGCAUUAGAAAGUCUUUCAGUCACCACUUAACAUCAUGACUUCUUAAACAUCAAAUGGGCUGUGCCUAUGGCAGGGCACACUGGAAACAGUGAAUGGCCGAAUUACAUGUAAACUCUGAAUAUUUUUGAAUUUUGAUGCCCUACAUGAUCAUCAAUUUCAGUUAUGGUAGGCAAUCAUGCAUGUUGGAUUGCCCAACCUACUUCUGAGUAUCUAUACACUACACUGGCAUUCCAUCUAAAACAAUGUGAGAAUGAAUCGUUAGCAUUCCUAGAAUCAUAAAGCCGGUCAAUUUGAGAAUAUCACAGCAAGCACUGGCAGCACCACAGUUCUCAGGCAGCACCGCAGUUCCUCAAUUCGGUAAAUCCAAGCCUUGGGCAUUUCCAGAUACUCACUCUGCGAAAAUUGAAGUGUCAGAAUGGCUGCAAUCACGUAAUCACAAUAACAAUUUUGUUAAAAUAUAUUUGCUAGACGCCUCGAUUGGUAGGGCUACACAUAGCAUUGACUCCAGUGGAAUACCAAUACUUCAGAUAAUAUCCGGCUGAGCAUCUCCAAGGGCAAGUAGCAAAUUUUAGCCCCAUAUGUCUGCGGACAGCAGGGAUCGGGCUCCUCCAUUUUCCGCCCCUACAACAGCGGGGUCCAUUUCACCCCUCCCCAUUUGUUGGCCCCAUUUUCUUGCCCUUCUCAUUUUUUUUCAAACAAACUUGUUGAAUACUAGAAAGGUUUAGAUUGAACAUAGAAAUAAACAGUUCAAAUUUAAAAAUACAUAAUUCAAACAUAAAUAUUAUCCAGAGUACAUAGUUCAAAUUUAAAGAUAAUGAUUUGGUCUGUUUGGGGUGGGGCCGGCUUGUCGGGUCUGACAUGGCGGACAUGUCCAGACAGCCCAUAUCUGACCAACAUUUGAGCUGGGUUUAGGACGGUCCGAACUGUACGGACAAUGGGGCCGGUUUGGGGAGGACCGUAGGACCGGUAUUUUUUGUUUGGACUGCCCGGGUGUGGUGUUUAAAUGGGCAAGGGUCAGGCUCACCCCUUGGUGAGUCGUAUGUUGAUAUGGAUACAGUGAUAAGUGGGCAAGGAUAAGGUCAUCGCAUCCUUAGUGGCACGCUACAUCGAUGCCCAGGUGUAAUGAAAUAUGAGCAAGGGUCUUCGCAUUUGACUUGACAAAUGCGAAGGGUAAGGAAGCUAGCCAAGCCAAGUAGGAUCCGCUUAGGUAGCUCGAACGGAGGGUCCCUGGCGGGUAAGUUACGGGAGUUAGUUGAUACAACGGUGAGGAAGGUGCUGAUAUCCUAUGCAUCCAAGAAACCAAAUGGAAGGGAUGGAAGGCGAAGGAAGUGGAGUGUGCCACCGUCAAGCUGGUUGUUAAGCUGCAAGAGGACCAAAUUAUCCUGGUCAAGCUGGUCGUUGGGGACUUGAUUCUCGAUGUCAUCAGCGUGUAUGCCCCUCAAGUAGGCCAUGAUGUGAGCACCAAGAGGGAGUUCUAGGUAGGCUUGGAAGACAUGGUUAGGAGUGUACCUAUUGGCCAGAAGCCCUUCAUAGGAGGAGACCUCAAUGGCCACGUGGGUACAUCAAACACAGGUUCAUAGGAGGAGACCUCAAUGGCCACGUGGGUACACCAAACGCAGGUUUCAAAGGGGUGCAUGGGGCUUUGGUUAUGGCAGCAGGAAUCAAGAAGGAUAGGAUGUCUUAAGCUUCACUUUAGCCUAUGACAUGAUCAUAGCUAACACCCUCUUUAGAAAGAGAGAAUCCCAUCUAGUGACUUGUAGUGGUGGUCAACGCUCUAGCCAGAUUGAUUUCACUCCUCUCGAGAAGAGAAGACAGACGUGUUUUUGCCUAGAUUGUAAGGUGAUACCUAAAGAGAGUGUUGUCCCACGACAUAAGCUUGUGCUGGCUGACUUCCGCUUUCGGAUAUCUGUCUGGCGGAAUAAGUGCACCAAAGUCGCUAGAACGAAGUGGUGGAAGCUCAAGGGUUCAAGGAGGGGGUUAUUAAGGAGGGCUCUUGGGAGGAAGGAGGUCAUGCAAACAAUAGGUGGAUGAAGAUGGCAACUUGAGUUGGAAAGGUGGCUUCAGAGGAGUUUGAGGUGAAGAGGGGGAGUAGAAGCAAAACAAAGGUUACCUAGUGGUGGAACAAUGAUGUCCAGAAGGCUAUUAAGGAGAAGAAAGAAUGUUCGCCUACACCUGGAUAGGAGUGCAGACAACAUAUAGAAGUACAAGGUGACAAAGAGACCACAAAGCGAGCCGUGAGUGAAGCAAUGGGUCGGGCCUCUUUCAGCGUUUAAACAUGAGGGAAGCGAAAGGGACAACUACAAGGAAGAUGGGGAAUGUCAACCUAGUCAAAUGCAUCAAGGAUGGAAAAAUCAACUUCUGGUUAAGGACAAGGAGAUCAAGAACAGAUGGCAAGAGUACUUCAACAAACUGUUCAAAGGAGAGAAUGAGAGCUCAGCCAUUGAGCUGGACGACUCCUUUGAUGAUACCAACAACAUUUUGUGCAACCAAUCCGUCUGAGAUCAAGGAGACUUUAAAAAGGAAGAAAGCAAGCAAGGUGAUGAGCCCUGAUUGUAUCCCAAUUGAAGUGUGGAGAUGCCUUGGAGUGUGGCUAACUAAGUUGUUCAAUCUCAUUUUUAGGAACAAGAUGCCCAAAGAAUGUACCAACUUCAAGAAUAAGGGGGAUAUUCAAAGUUGUACUAAUUACCGUGGAUUAAGUUGAUCAGCCAUAAAAUGAAGUAUGGGAGAGUCACUGAGCACCGCGUACGAAGAAUGACAAGCGUGAUCAAAAAUCAGUUUGGUUUCAUGCUUGGGAGGUCGACCAUGAAAGUUAUUUUCUUGGUACGACAACUUAUGGAAAGAUAAGGGGCACAAAAAAAGACCUGCAUAUGGUGUUCAUUGACUUGGAGAAGGCCUACAAUAAGAGACCACAGAAUGUCAUAUGGUGGGCCUUGGACAAACACAAAGUCCCAACAAAGUACAUUACCCUCAUCAAGACAUGUGCGAUAAUGUUGUGACAAGUGUUCAAACAAGUGAUGAUGACACCAAUGACUUUUCAAUUUUAAAAUAGGACUGCACCAAGGGUCAGCUUUGAGCUCUUAGGGCAACUCCAACGCGGAUCAGCAAAACGGACAUCAUCAAAUGUCCGUAGGCACAUCCGGACGUGUCCACGAACAGCGAUGGGGGCGGAGGCCAUCCAAUCGUAGUCACCAAAUGUCCGCCCCAUUUCAAACGGAUUUUUCAAAAAAGGUUGAUAUUUGUUAAAUUUUGAUAUACUACAACCAAAAAGGACAAAAUUUAACAAAGUUCCAACUAAAUUGAACAAAAUUUUAACUAAGCCUAAACUAAACUAAGUGAGGUGCCGGACGAUGACCUGGUAGGCAUGGCCUCCAAGGCCGUCGACAACUUGUCGUCGUCACCAUCGCCGUCCUUCCAGUGACGGAAGGCCCGCCAAUGGUCGCGGCAGCCCUCAUCGGCCGCCGUAGCACGCUCGUGAUGCAGCUGCUCCACUGCCUCCAUCUAGCACCGCCUGCCAUUGCCUUUGAACCGGGCCAAGCGCUCGGACUCCUCCAGCCCCUCUUUGUGGAGCUGGUCGUUGAUCCGGCAGUGACGAGUGGAGGUCUCCAUGGUGGUCCUGGACCGAUCAAUGGCCCAAGCCUCCGGAGGCACUUGUCCGCUGGGACCCAAGGCGCCGUGACCUCCGACAGCAGAACGACGCUCCCGGCACCCCGCCUCGGAAGCCACCCGGGAAGCCGACAUUACUGUGCAGGACAAGUCGUCGUCACCACCACAGAGGUAUUAGGCAAGGCGGUCGCACGCUUUGGAGAUCGCCGGAUAGGGAGGCUCCUCCUUCACGGCGACCGGGUGCCAGACUGUCGCCAAGGCGGGGAAGAUAGCUCCUUCACGGCGACAACCAGGCGCCACUGGCUCUCGGACUGCCAACAGCCAGGGACGGCGGCACCACCUCCUUGCUGCGCAGGGGACUACGGCCCCUUCAUGCGGCGUUUGAUUUGGAUACCGUUGUUGAGCGAGAGCGGCAAGGAAGACGGCACCGGACCACAGUCGUACCGCAACUCCUCGUCCGUCGCGGCAGCCUCAGCAAAGAGGGGCGGUUGUUGCUACUCCACGACGUUCGAGGAGAUGGGCUCCGGCUUCACCUACAACGAAGCGGUUGAUGCUGACGGGCCCAGAGAACGUGAUCGUCGACACCAGGAGCUCCCGCCAGGGCCGGGGAGGGGGGGGUCGCGGAGAACCACUUCGAGCCGUCCGACUUGCCCAUCACGGUGGCCGGAGCUGGAGUUCCACGGAUUUGGGGGAGGAGAGGCAGGGGUGUAAGGUUUGCGUUUGCGGUCAGCCAGCUUAAAUACCGGGGCAAACGAACCGGCUAUGCUUCAACACGGGCAGCAAACCAAGUAGGCUUCUCGGACAACGUGCUGAUGUGAAUGCCAGACGGCUGGCAGGUCAACACACAUAAAUGCAUGUAGCGAAAUGUCUCGUCAUCUCAUCCGAUUACGUCCUCUUUGACUGGUAUGAAUGCGGCGCGAAAAACAGAGUGAGAAUUCUAGGCGGAGCGGAACGAGGGUUGUUGACAUGGGCUCGCGUUGUCGGAGGCCUACAUGGCAGAUCUCCGGAUGCCUCCCCUACGUCUGGUUCCGAUUUGUGAGAUUUCGAAUGCCCAGACAAAUUUGGUGAUCAAUGUUAGAUGGCAAAAAAUGUAUGGGAUGUCUGGUCCAGACAUUUAGGGGUUAUUUGGUGAUCCGCGUUGGAAUUGCCCUUAUCUUUUUGCUUUGGUGAUGGAUGAGGUCGCAAGGGAUAUACAUAUUCCAUGGCAUAUGCUCUUUGCAGAUGAUGUGGUGCUAGUCGGACAGGGGUUAAUAGAAAGUUAGUUGUGGAGACAGACUUCGGAAUCGAAAGGUUUUAGGCUUAGUAGGAUUAAAACCAAGUACAAGAGGUGUGGUUUCAUCAUUACUAUUAGGCAUGAGGAGGUUAGCCUCGAUGAGCAGGCGGUACCUUAGAAGGACACCUUUUGAUGUUUGGGGUACAUGUUGCAGAAAGAUGUUGAUAUUGAUGCAGAUGUGAUCCAUCGAACCAAAGCAAAUGGAUGGCGUGGCACCAAGCUUUUGGGGUCCUCUGUGACAAGAGUGCCACAAAACCUAAGAGUCAGGUUCUAUAGGACGGCGAUUCGACAUACAGAGACCUAAAGGAUUGGAAUAUCAUCAAAGAACUAGCCAUGGAUAGGGGGAUGUGGAAGUUAGCUAUCCACGACAGAACCAUGACUAGGUUACAAGAUCUUAUGGGUUUCAACUCUAGCCUGCCCUAAUUUGUUUGAGACUAAAAGCUUUGUUGUUGUUGUGUCCGGACUGUCUGUCCGAACAAUUGGGGCCGCUAUGGGGAGUCCCCUUGGAUAUGCGCUGAAGCUGAUCAAAUUUUCCAUGACCAGUAUAGCCGGCUCCUAACAGCAAGCUGAUAACCACCUCAUUCCUGAUAACGAUUCACUAUUCUAUAGGUCUAACCCAUGCUAAGUCAAAGCGACCGACUCAUGCUUACAUAAUGAUAUACCAAUCCAGAUGUCAAGCAGCAAACUGCUCGAUUUUGCACCAGUCUUCACAAUUAUUGAGACAUGGUACAUGUCCAGGGACAUCCAUUAUUUUCUGCCCGAUCAAGUCUUUGCAGCAGUAACCAGAGGGGAUAGUAUUAGCGCUGAGAUGCACUAACUUUAUGGAUGCUUUUAGCCAAUCCUAACUGAUUCAAUCUAGAGAACCAACACAAGCCAAGAGUGUGUUAUGAAAAUUUUAACCAACUCACUAAUAAAAACCAUUCAACAUUAUAUAUUCAUACGCUAAACUAAACCAUGUUCAGAAAUAAUUAACAUCAAUCCUUGUUCAUACAACCCUGGUGGUGGGGGACGCAACUCCUGUGCAUCGAUCAUGAGACCUAUGACAAAUACGGAGUAAUUGCUAACCCCCUUUAACAUUGCAAUACAGGCCUUAAUUAGUGUUGAAGAGUUGUAAUUGUCAUACACAUAACAUGUAAAUUCCAUAAUUUUUGGAGGACUUCCUCCACAUCAUGUGUAUCUAUUAGAGCUUGCACCCAAAGAAACGUCGAUAGGGCAUCAGACACCAUAAGCAAUGUGCCGCCAUUUAUUAUUGAAUUGGAGAAAUAGAUAAAAUGAUAAAUAUUGUCGGUAGUUCGACUUCCCACUAACACUUGCAUAGGAAGGACUGACCAUUAGUCUUUCUGCUGAAAUAAUUCACUCCUGGUGACUCUUAUUUUGGUUGAUUGGACCUCUGCUUCAACAUCAUUAACAACUCCCCGGCAUUUUGGAAAUCCACAAUAACAAGGAAGCCGUUGUUCAUUCGAAACAAACCUGAAUAAAGCAUAUAAAUUAUUGGUAAAACUACAACGUGAGACCAAAAGCAAUAUGAUAUUCAGAUCUGACCUAUAAUCAUAGGUCAACUCUUCCCAUGGGUCUAUGUCCCGCUUUGCAAAAAUGAUGAUAUGCUCAUCCCCAAGAACACUUAUCACACGCGAAUAACAAUUAGGCUGCAAUGAUGAAGAGAUGUCAUGAAAAUUGCCUACCAAAAUACCAUAAAAGCAAAUAUAAGAUCAAAAACUAAAAAUGGUAAAGAUUAGACUAUAGAGUAUGCCGGCAGCAGCUAUAUGACGAAACCAUUCCCAUCAACCGGAUCACUCAUGUAUGCACUAUGCAGUAACACAAUACAUCAGUAUGUCAUCAUUAAUAGUAGUGCCUCUGAAUUGUUAGAACAAAUAAUUUGAUCUUUAAUAAGCUGACACAACAUAAGGCCAACAUACAAAGUAUAUUGGUAAAGCUGAUUAUUCCCUUAUCUUCAAACAAGUAUAAAUUUUUCAUAACUCGUUGUGAAAAAUUAUUUGCUUCAAAAGAGACAUCCUCAUGCCAAUUGUACUAUAUUCCUUUUUCAUGCUGAUUUCUUAUUUUGGUAAAAAAAAAUAUGGCCAGAAUAGGCACAGGUAAUGUUCAACAUGAAUUUCCUCAAAAUAUACCCCGUUGUCCAACUACCCAUAUGUACAGUAGGUAGUGGCCCAGAAUUCGAAGAAAUACCAUGCCAAGGUUAUACAACAAUUAAUGAGGAUAUAAUCCAUACUCCUCGGCACAUAAAAGAUAUGAAGGGAUCUGAGCUGCUAACAAAGUGGAAAGCACAUGCAUAGUAGACCAAGAUUUUUCUUACCUCGCAUGAGUGAUUGAUCAAAUGGGCUAUGCUUCCUGCUCGUGUAGCGUCAAUAACACGCUCAUCAUCUAUCCUGAACAUGUAUGUCCCAGCACCCUGCAUAGAGUUACUUUGAGUAGUUAACAGAUUGUAAUUAAUAUCCAGGUAGAGCAUAGUUAGAUAACAGGUGUUUUCUACCAGUAUCAUGGAGGCAUGUAUACUGAGCUAACGUUUUGAGACAGUGGGUACCAAGCUGGACCAUGUGUACCAAAUAUAAAGUUAAUUCUAACAUACAUUGAUUAGUGUAAUAGUGACAAGCAUGCGAGCAGAAGCUAUUAGAUACAAGAGAUGUCCAUUUAUGACUGGCAGUGAGAAAAUAUAUGUAUGGUCUAUAAUCUUCUAAUUUAUGUACAGUACUGUCGGAAUUUUUAGUCCUCUAAUGGCCCUUCAUUCAAUCCCUUUCAUUUUCUUUGUUUAACAAAAUCAGGUACAUGGUUCUCUCCUGACAUUUGCGUCCCUCAAAUUCUUUUCACAAUACUUCGAUUUAAAAGCUACUCCAUCUGUCGCUAUUUACAUGGCGCACACGUUAUUCGAGGUUCAACUUUGACCAAAAAAUGUGGGUUGUGUCACAACACGUGCACCAUUUAAUUUGUACGUAUUAAAAUGCAGUUUGUACAUUUUGAUUACAUAUAAUUAAUAUAUUGUCGGUGAAAUUAAUGGUUGGAAUUUUAUCACAAACAACGAGGGCGACAUGUAAAUAGGGACGGAGGGAGUGUCAAUUGUGAGUUUGGAGGGGGUUGAAUUUCAUAUAUUUGUUAAAAUCGACAGUUGGUUUUAUCAGUUGAAGGUCUGUUAAUUCCAGAUGUCAUGAAUAUAUGAGAAUGGACAGUUGGUACCAGUUGAAAACUGGAAGUGCUCCACUUAAAUGCUUACUUUUGUGGGGUUGAAAGUUACUAUUCAACAACCUAAAGGUAGGAAUGGGUUCUGUGUUCAUUCUUGUCUCCACUGCCGCUGGCCAGCAACAAAACCAUCGCUAGACGAAGGAGAGGCAGAGCGGGAAGCAGCAAGAGGGAAAGGGGCAUGACAUGGAUGCUAGUGGCGUCAUGGAUAAUGGUCAGAGCACACAGGGUCAGAGGACGUGUGGGAAGGUCUCCACACCCAUGCUCAUGUAAUAAUAGCUGACACCCAUUCAAUAUAAGAUCAUUGUACAAGCUACCAUAUUAAAAGCUGCAAAAUUUUGUUGUGCAUAUUGACGUAUCAACAAUUCUGAACACCCAAAAGAUGUAAAUUCCAAACAGAACUUACCACCAAAGAAUUGUAUAUACGCCGCUCUCUAAGGUCUGAUAUCGGUGGCCUAACAAGCUCCCCUAUGUAUUCGAUCAUCUGAACAAGUAGAUACAAAAUAGAGAAUUUCAGAACAUUAGCACAAAUAGCAUCACAGUCAUCUUCAAAUAACCGACAUAUUUUACUGUUUGCAGUGCUAUCAGGCAGUUACAAAAUCUUCCCUAAAAGAAACCCAUCUCCUUUCCAGAAGCGACCACAAUCUAUAAGGGGAAGUUACAGAAACAUACCAUGUCUCCUGCCUUGUGUGCAACCUUUGCAAAAACACCAAACCCAUGAAUUCUUGAUUUUCCUGCCAAGAAAAAUCAUAACAUAAAACACAAUUCAUAGAAAGCAUAAAUCAGAAUACCAAACUAAUACUAAGCUUCAGUUAUAAUCCACCCACUGGCAUGUCUCUUUAUAGAGCUCAUGCUAAUAUAUGCACAUGUUUUCACUGGACAGAUUUAUACCAAGAUCGUAUACACUUCCUAUAGAUUUGACUAUUAUUGCAGAAAAUGAUUCAUCUAGCAUCCACAAAAGAGUUAACAGAACAGCAUAAAUGAUGAAGCAUCAGUUGAUAAAUACUUAUAUGAUACAGUAUGUGUAUUCAAGUUAAAGCAAAAAAAAUGCUUUGCAAAUAAAUAAGACCACAAAACAAUACUGUCUUAAAUUUUCAAAACACACUUUUUUUCUUCAACAAGAUAAUAAAAAAGAAACUAAUCAUCUUCAGAAAUCAUGCUAUGGAGAUGCCAUUGGUUCGAAGAUUAGUAAAACUCACCAAAAGCUAGUCUCUUCCUGAAUGUGGCCUUCAUGCUUUUAUAUUUUUCAGCCAUAGAAGACACAUUGACAGAAGCUUCUUGUGAUGCAGCAUCCAACAAGGCGACUGAUUGAAUUGGUUCACAGCUAGUAUCACAGCCUACUUUAUUUUGGCAGUAGCCACUAACAAUAUAAGGCAUGUUCUCCACAUACAAACGCUUUACAGAAGCAGUAGCUGUAACUUGAGGUUGUUGUUGGCCUCUUCUCCGGUGAAAAUUAUAGGGCUCUGAACAAAGGAAUGAGUAAACAGAGAUGUCACCAAGGAGCGAGAACAGAAUAGAUAGGUAAUCAUAAGGAUAGGAGAUCGUCUACUAAUAAACAAAUAUAGCCUUUUCAAGAACUAGGCAGCCCCCAUAAGACUUCAAGAUUCACUUUCAAACCAAAACAAUAAUAAUAAUAUCUGAGCGACAAGCCGACAAAUCUAUAUAAAAAAAGCUGAACAGGAGAGCAAAAUUCAACAGGGCAUAUUGUUUAAGGUGUUUCUUUUGUGAGGAUGGUUAAAAGUGACUAUCUUAAUACACAACCAAAAUGAAUAUGUGCAGAACUUUUGGAAAGAUGCUAGUCAAAUAAACAUUGCUAUUACCAGUCCUUGCACAACCAGAUGAUGAAGCCGCGUCUGUCUGAACUAACUGAGCAGGGUUACCAAGAUUACUUUCAAGAGAUGGACGUUCAGUAGAUGGUUGUCUGUGCUUCUUGCAAUACGAGAGUAGACGAAUACAUGGGCCCUCAUCCUCCUCAAGUAACAUGAGAUGGAUUUUAUCAUCAUCUUCAAGCUAAAAUUAACAUAAUACUAAUUAAGGUAUAAAAUUAGUCCCCAAGAAAGUAGGGUCACUUACAUAGAAGUAAUUUACCUCAACACAUAGAUCAGCAGCACGUGCACAGAGCGGGUGAUAUGCAACUCGACAAGUAGGAUGUGAGCACUACAUUGAUGCAUGGAGAAGGGUCAUAAUAUAUUAUAGGUGUCACAACAUAAGCUUAAACAGUUCCUGAAGUACCUGUAUGCAAGCUCCAUAAGCAACUGUACAGAUGCUGCAUAGAAGUUUCCAGCGGUCCUGGAGAUAACUUAAAACUGAAAAUGUUUCUACAAAAAUGCUCCAAAAACAGUCACCGAAAUCAAGAGAGAAAGGGGUGAAAACCUUGUUGAUUUUGCUCAAUCCAUCAAUGGGUUCCAUUCUCUUUACAUCUUUUAAGCAAGUUUCUGCAACCAAUUUAAGAUUAAGAAAACUAAAGUAUGUCAUGAUAUGAUACCACUAAGAAAAAAUAUAGUGGUUAAGUUAUUAUACCAGGAAUCCAUAUUGCACAUGCUAGAUGAGCCCAACGGCCAUCUGUUGUAGGUUUCAUUGCACCCCCUACAAACAGAGAUUGCAUCUUAUAAGUACAUAGCCUCGCUUUGCAAUAAGUACAACACAAUUGUAUACCUGUGACAGGACAUAGGCAGCAUCGUGGGGACACGCGAGGUGCCCCAGGUCGGCACAGGUUGCACAACCAAAGUACUCCAUUCAAUGGUUCUAGUUCGCCAUAGCACCGAGCAUGAACCUGAAUCACGUUAAGGCUGUCAGGAUUUGUUAAUACUUAUAUUUGACAAUAUUCAUGGAGUUGAAUGAUCCUGUAAGUGCAUACCAUCAUACGGCACUUGUCACAUUGCAAGAACAAAUUGUCUUCAUACUCCUGGAAGGCAAAAGAGAAUUUAAGUAACUUUUCAGUUUGAUUACUUGCAUUUUGAAUAAGCAUGAGAACAGGAUUUGGAUCAUUUACCUCAUCCAUAUCACAUACACUGCAAAAGUCUAGAUCUUUCCAAUUAACAUGAACAGCUCUGUAACCACGGAGGGUAUCCCCACCAUUUUCAAAAUACUUCAAACACGACCUUGCAUUUGGCAACUCCUAACAAAUACACAAGUAACUUUGAAGUUAACAAAGAUAAAGAAUGGUAUGCAUUAUCUAAAGCAUACUAAUAUGAAGUCAAUACAAAGAAGAAGGCAAAAGCCCUGACAGAGAAGGACAUCACUACAUGGCAACAAUGAUUUCCAUUUUUCAAUGAAACUUGUAAACACGCAUCUACAAUAUGUGCAUCAAUGUUUUCACCAAAGACAACUCUUUUUUUGUGGAAAAUGAAAGGAAAUGCUGGUAAGGCGAGCACGGUAGUAUCAAAGCAUAAAAGUAGAUUCACCAACAUAAAUGAUUUAUUCAAUCCCAACCUCGGGGUGAACAAGAUAAACAAAAAAUAUAUUCUCCUUUUUGUCCAUGAGGAAGAACUCAGACAUUAAAGAACGCAUUGGCUCUUUCCUGAUCAUAAUGUAAUACUAGUAUGAAUGAACAAAAUAUGAAUUUGCAAUAAAUGGUAAUGUCUCCUCAUCCAACAAAAGGGCUAUCUGAAGCAAUGGAAAGCAUCGCCAAACUAAGUAAAAUAGAGUGUUGACUAACUUGAAAUACUAGGUUGACGGCUGAAGUGUAUGGCAUCAGCCAAUCACAUAUUCACAGAGACAACAAAACUUUCAAUCCACAAAAGUCCAGUACCAGAUACAUGGGUGGGUAUAAAUCAAAUAACCAAUAAUACUGAGCUGAAAUACAAAUAACAAAAGGCCAUAGACAAAACUUAGACUUACAGAAAUGAUUAUCAAAACAAAUGUGCAUUUAUAAAAGAAACAAAAGACCUUUCUUAAAGAUGAAUUAAUUGUCUAGCACCAAUGCAUUGCCUAACAAAAGUAAUACUGAUAAAAUGAAGCGUGAAAACCAUGAAAGCUAUUUGUUUAAAAACCUGAAUAAGCUGCCUAAUUUGUGGGUUUGAAAAGCCAAACAUGUCUGAACCAGAUCUCUGACAAACAUUUCCUUCCAGUUCCGAGGCAACAUUGCACUGUUUUUGUUUUAUCCUGCAGUAUAUCUCCUUCCAGCAUGCAUUAGGCGUAGAGCCAUCAAUCUGGUCAACAAAAGGCAUCAUGUUAGUAAAUGUACAGAUUUCGAACUGCUGAAUUUGUCAAAAUGCUGCUAUCCAAGGUAUAUCAAGAGGGUUUCGCUGAUAAUCCUAAAAUACGCUCUUUUUAAUGAACUGUGCAGUGAUCAUUCAGAGCAGUAAAUAAAUUGGCUGAUUUGAGAAGAGACUCAGUUUGUGGUUACUGCAUUGUGUUGCACUUAACUUAUUUUAUAAUCUGCUGCAGAAACUUAGCCACGGAAGUAGGAAAUACCGAAAUAAUCUAAUGAGAAGGUGAUGCAACACAGCCAGGAAUAUAUGAAGGCAGCUAUUCACUGCAGUUCAAGGUACAUUUAGUCACAAUGCCACCUAAGCGAGCUUGAUAGACGUAUUAUUAGAGCAUCAUCUACAAGUAUAGUAAAGCAAACAUUCCAUCACAGCAUCAUGCAACAUGCACAAUGAGACGAGGACACUAGCUUAUAUAUGUGAAUUUCUUCAUAAUAGUAAACUAAAUUUUAGCAAGUGACGCAGACAGCAAUAUUCAUUGUUGAUAUUGCUAAGAAACUAUCAUCUGCAUUGGUCCUUAGGAUAUCCCUUCCAUACAUGGCAAUGCAACACAACAUCAUGAUAUGCUUUACGCUUAUGCUUAACACUAAAGAUUCAGCAAAAUGGAGUACCAACAUUAACAGGAUCGGUACUAGUACAAAAAUUUCAAUCUGCUUACCUGCAAUCCAUCUUCAGAGAUCACCCUAAACAACGGUCGUGCUUUUAUAUCUGAAUUCCUCAGUACUUCCAUUUUGUAAGAUGUUACUAGGUGUGGAUCUGUGAAAGUAUUACAAUGUACUCAUAAAACAUACUCUCAUGAGAGUAAACUGUUCCAAAAUGGAACACCAAAUUUCAUGCAAGCUUGAUGACAGUCUGGAGCUGAACAAAUACCUUUUACUGAUGCGAACUUCCUGAAAGCAGUAUACCCUUCAGGCCAUAUGUGCAUUUUGUUAUGGAAAUGGUCUGAAUCAGAUACUAUCCUGCCUGGAAAUAAACUCAAACAAUCAGGUUUGUUAUAUACUCAGAAGAACGAACAAAGGAGGAAAUGCAGACGCAUAUAAACAUAAACAUGCAGAGCUCAGUCAGCACCAAGAAAAGGGGUCAGCAGAAGAUAUACAACAGCAUAAACAGAAGAUGUAUAUGACAAAUAAGAGCUCCAUAUAUGCUCGAAGGCAAUAGAGUGUCAUCUUAAGUAAUGUUCAGAAUGAUUUCUCUGAUGGAAACCUUCUAUGCCUACAUUAAACACAAUCAAAAUGGAGUUUCAAUGGUAUAACUUUUAUGGCACAUAAAGUUAAAUGACAAAAUAUGAAGACACAACAUAAAUUGGGAUGGAGGGAGUAAAUGGAAAUCAAUUAUUUCUUUUGAAGGGUUAUGGGUAGGAAGAACAAACUAAAACAGAUCAGUGUUUUGGAUUAUUGGUGCUAGUGCAAUCUGAACUGCAUCAUCCUUGAACAUAUAACAUAUGUCCAUAUCUCUGGAACAGAUAUAAUUCCACUAUCCAGCAAGGUUUUUGAGUCGACGAGUCGUUCUGGGGUAGCAACUCUUGACUAGUCGUGACUAGUCAAGACUCAUGGUCGAUGAGUCGACGUGCGACAGUCGACAUGAGUUAGGCAAUAGGUACAAUAAAAUUACCAUAGUAUAUGUAUACCUGGACAUCAAUAAAAUUACCAUAGUAUAUAUAUAUACUUAUUAAUAGUCUAAUAAAAAAUGAGUCGUUCGACUCAAAAACCACGACUAGUCGAUCGACUCAUCCAACUAGUCGAGUCGACAUGUUGAGCCGACCUGCCAGUUGCGACUCGUCAAUUAGUCGGCGACUAGUCGCUCGACUCAAAAACAGUGCUAUCCAGAAGUGCCAAGUCUGCUUGUGUCUCCCACCAAGGAAAACUUGCAUAAAGCGGCAGCAUCGUAGCUCAAAAAGGCAGUCCAAGAUUCAAGUGAGAAACAGGGCAUCCUUGAAAUGGGUAGGAUGGACAUGCUUCCAGAGCAUUUUUUGCAUCUUCAAACUUAGCUGGUUACUCUAUUUACGCACGCGCGCNNNNNNNNNNNNNNNNNNNNNNNNNNNNNNNNNNNNNNNNNNNNNNNNNNNNNNNNNNNNNNNNNNNNNNNNNNNNNNNNNNNNNNNNNNNNNNNNNNNNNNNNNNNNNNNNNNNNNNNNNNNNNNNNNNNNNNNNNNNNNNNNNNNNNNNNNNNNNNNNNNNNNNNNNNNNNNNNNNNNNNNNNNNNNNNNNNNNNNNNNNNNNNNNNNNNNNNNNNNNNNNNNNNNNNNNNNNNNNNNNNNNNNNNNNNNNNNNNNNNNNNNNNNNNNNNNNNNNNNNNNNNNNNNNNNNNNNNNNNNNNNNNNNNNNNNNNNNNNNNNNNNNNNNNNNNNNNNNNNNNNNNNAUACCUAGGUUGCUCACACGAAGAUUCCCUAGUUCUAUUUGAGUCAUUUCAGCAUCCUCUCCAUUUUCUUCUGCUCUUUCUUCUGAUAAAUUAUCACAAGAGCCUAUCGCGUCAUCUUGGCCAUUAACAUCAGAACCAUCAUUUUCAAUGGAUUUCCGAAGUUGCAACAUAUUUUCUGGAAGCUGUUGGGUGAGGAGAAACCUACACAAUCGAUAUUUUUCAGUAUCAUACCAAUAGGGCAUCAUGAAAGAUAACAGAAAAUCUUUCAAGUCUAUGAUGUGUAUUCAGGAAAAAAAAAACAAUUAUUGCUUAAAAAUAUAUAAGAGGUUCUGGACUCAUACUCCUUGGCUUCUUCUAAGCCUCGGGAGAAGCGUGCUUGCUUGCAUUUGAGAUGCAAGGAAGAAAGAAGGCCAUUCAGAAAGGGCACCGCCUGCUUCAACUUAAUCCUGAGGUAGAAACACAACUUUAGUGUACUGCUUUGAAAGAAAAAGAAAAAAUAUGCUAUAAUCUUUUCACAGAACCAAACCUUGCAAAAUCAUGGGUGCCAAAGAAUUGAACAAGUAUUGAUUGAUCUAACCGAAUUGGCUUGAGGGCCCGGCUAGCAUGAACAUUUGACUCGUCCACUAUAACAGCUGGCCACAUUGCAUGACCUGUUGAGGCACACUAGGCUCAUUACAUGAGAACAAAUUUCAAGUCACUGAGAAAAGUGAGAGCCUACACGUAAAAGGGAGCACUGAAAGAUGGCAAAUCAACCACAUAACUGAAUGAAACAAUUGAACAGAAAGGGAAAUCCAUGUCACUUGUUUACUUUAGGAAUGUAGGAAUGCGGAGGAAAAUAGCACUCAAUUAUCAAAUAACAAGUAUGACAGGUAAUUGAGGAGAUGAAUAAUGAAAAUGUUAAAUAAUAAAUCAAUACUGGGCUUAACACUAGAAAGCAUUUUCUGCAAAAGAGACAGUUAACCAUCUAACACAUGUGAUGUGCACGAGAAAUCAAAUAAAGUUGUAAGUUGAUGCAAAACUAUAAUAAACACUAGAAUAAAUAAAGUAUCACAUGGUAAAAGUUCAAAGUAAUCUGGAUAAUGACUACAAACAAUGGAAUAAAACUUGUGAUGACUGACAGAAUAAACAGAAAGGACCGUUGGCAUCUAAUCGCAGUUAACAGCUGGAAGCAUCGGCACUCAUAAGAAAAAGACAUAGGAGUACCUGUUAUUUUAGCCCACACUAGAUCAUCUGGAUCAAGACCUUGGUAGUCAUGAAAGCUGACAGCAAGUGCAAGCAGCUCAUCGUAUCCCUUCUUAUCCAGGUUAGAUGUUCCAAAUUUCAGGUUCAGGCUCUUCAUUUCCUCGGAUGAAAUGGAAAACUGUAUCCUUUCAUUAGCUAGGGUAAGGUCUUCUGCUUCACCAUCAUCAUACUUCACCUGCAAUUCGUUUAGCUUUAGAUAUCAACUACACAACAUUUCACAUGGCACUCUUCAUAGUGCAGACAUUACAUGGAAAACAGAGUGGUACAUAACGAGCCUUUUAGUAAGGAAAAUGCAGAAAAGAUUAUCAAAUUCAACUGUGGAUAAUCCACUGAGGCACAGCAAAUUUUCAUGAAUAAGAAAAAUAAGAACCAGGGAUGUAGAAAGCAUACAGAAUGCUUCUUGGUUAGUUCCGUGUAGGCCGUGAUGGAACCCUUGUACCAAUCAUCAUCUAGGGGCCAGAAAACCUGCAUUCACCAUCAAAAUUCAGGCCCCAGUUUGGCUGCAUUCCAUAUAGUGAUGAAACAACCACAUGCUCACAACAGACGUCGUCAAGAACUUACCUUGCACACUAAACCGACAAACGCCUGCGGAUCGGCACCCUGAAUUUCCAACCUGCGACAAAGCCAGCGUCAAAAUUACACAGAGAACAAGUAUUCUAGUUGGCCGUUCCUUGUUGCUGAAGCCGUGAGGAGAGUUUCAUUGCGAAGCAAGCACAGAUCCAACUUACUCUACCCAUCUCUUCUCAGAUGGAGAGGCGGCCUCCAGCUGGCUGCUGCGGCGCCGUCGCCUCCGGGGCGCCGAAGUGCUCUCCUUCUGCACUCCCCCUCUGCGCCUCGGCUGCCGUCGCCCCAGCAGCUCCUCCCCGUCUCUAUCCGCGCCCAAUGCAGGCGGGGCGGACCCCAGGCUGAGCAGCUCGUGCUUGAGCGGGCGCUUCCGCCGCGAGCCCCUGCCCAGCGCCUCCUCCUCCUCCUCCUCCUCCUCCUCCUCCGGCUGCCGCGGCGCAGUGGCGGGCGAGGACGGCCGUGGCUCCUCGAGCCGCGGCUUCUUGCGGCGACGGCGGUAGUAGACGAUCACGGGCGGCUUGCCGCCCGCGGCGGCGGAGGCGGAGCUGCGGGGCUUCUUGGGGGGCGGGCAGGGGGCGGUGGAGGAGUAGACGCGGCCGAGGGGGAGGUAGCGCAUGGGGUGGUCCCCGUCCUCCCCCUCGUCCUGGUGCACGAAGCUCCCCUCCACGGCGAUCACCAUGGCCGGCGGGUAGGGUUUCGGGUGCCGCUCCUCCAGCGCUGCACGCCCUAGGGCUUUCGGGGAUUUGGGGAUUGCAGGGGGGUUCAGUGAGGGGGGGAGGUUCCCGUUUGGGGUGGGCGACGCGUCGCCAAAUCUUUUGGGGGGGCUCAGCGCGGGAGCUAGCAUCGCCUCCGCGCCUCUCUCUAUCUCUCUCACCGCGGAGCUGGAUGGGGAUUUCCCGAUUUCUUUUCUCCGCGGCAACCCUCCUCCGCUCUGCUGGCUGCUGCGCCUGCGCUGCUGUCUCCCGUUGUUGCCAGUGCCAGUGUGCAUUGCCCGUUUGCUGGUCUUCUAGCCAUCAUACCACGGGGUCUCUGCGGUCUUCUUUUCUUCUCCGUCAGUGUUCCAAUUAGGCUUCGAGUUAGAUGUAAGAAGAAUAUGAAUCCCGAUACAAUAAUAGUAUUUCUAGACAGAUUUUAUACUUGCAUUGGGGUCUAUCAAAGUGCAUGGUAUCCGGCUUAAACAUUCAAAUAUGGAAAAAAACGCAAACCAGUCGAUUUGAAACGGACGGCUUGGGGCCAUUGAAUCUAAAACGAGCGGCGAGAUCAUCGUCUUCUUCCUCCGACCGUUUUUCUUCCCGCGCUCUUCAUAUUCAUCCUCUCCUCUCUCACGGGACAAAGAUUUCUCCCCCUCCCCAGCCCACCCUUCGCCUCGUCUCCGGAGAGUUCCCGUCCAAGCCGGCUCAGGCUCCAUACAAUCCGAGCGGUGAUCGAAGCUAAAAGGCCCCCAUAUGCACAUGUCUAACCUCUAGCUCGCCUCUGUUUGCAAUCCGUGGCGGCGGCGGCUCACUCCUAAGGAGGCCCCGACGAGGAUGCCUUGACCGUUGCGCCAUCCCCGGGUUGGCCUCAUGUGUUGCCGCUCCUUCCCGCAAGAACAGACUAAUGCGAUUAGGGUUUUCACGCAAACCAGGGAAUAGCAAACCGUCAAUUCUUUAGUGUUUAGCAUCUGAACUGAGAAAUAAAUAUGUUGAAUUGGCAAUAGUACUUGAUGUCAAGUCGAGAAAAACAGUAGUCCCUUUCUUUGCUUGCAUCAAAGGUCAACGGAUAGAGAAAUCCAUCUUCAUCGUCGAUUGAAUCAAAGCGCAUGUCCAUCGCUCCUUUGACAGUUCGUUGUAUUAGCUUCCAUCUAGAUUUGUUCUUACGUCCAAGAUGAAGAUAGAAUCACACACGCUAAUUACUCACCUCUGUCACCGGGGAUUGAAGCUUUGCAGGGUCGUUGCUCGGUCAAGAACAUUGUCGAUCCUUAUUGUUGCCUCCAAGAGAAGAGAAUGGUGUGGCGGUGUCGAAAGCACGCUGUGGAAAACAUACAAUUCUAGAUUUGUUGGCAAAAAAGGAAACAAUGUGAGAAAGACGAACAAGUGUGUGCACGGGAAUGAAAGCGGCAAAGUGGGAGGUAUUUUGGGAAUGCAUGGUUACCAUGAGAUAAAACCUUCUAUUUCAAGUUAACAAAGGCCUUGCAAGACAUACCUUCGUGCAUAAAUGGAUUAUAUCAUACAUGCCAAUAUCAAGUUAACCUUCUAGUUUAGUAAUGCUCGGGCAAUUGGAAAUUAAUAUAGGGUGAAUGUGUACAUCAUAUCUCUAAACGUGUUACUCAUGAAAACAUAGGGCCCUAUAGCCAACUUAGUCAUCCGACUUGCUCAAUCCUGUUGAAAAUUAAUGGAUAGUGUUGUGCUUAUCAUGUUUAUAAUUUUGUUAUGUGUGAUCAAUUACGACUAUAAACUCAUCCACCCCACAAAGGUGUCUGGACUAGUGAAACUGCAUUGUCUCCCAAAAUUUAGUUUGGUGUUGAUGAUAAUAGGGUUAGUGAGGACUAAUGUCGUUUAUCAAGUUUACCUCGGGACAUUGGUCUCUCGGUGAUUGUUUACAUACAAGAUUGACCUCAUAUUUCAAAAUGGAAAAGGACAUUGGUUUUUCGAAGACUCUAAGGUUUUUCAAUUCCAUUUGAGUCAUAGGACAACAUGAUUAUUAAGAGGGGUCAAGGUGUUUAAGGAAGUUGGGGAACAUACCUACUAUACAUACAUUCUUCCCGCUACGCCAAAUCAUUCAAAGGGUAAAACCCUAAGCAAAUCUAAGAUGUGAUGGGACCCCCUAGGUCCCCCGGGUCUAGGGGAUGGGUCCCUAGAGUCCUUGUCAUUCUACCUUUGGACACCACGGGUCCCCAAACUCGCGGACCUCCAGGUUCCCGGAGCCCCCAACCCAUUAGAAACAAGUCCCUCUAUAUGGCUUAGGUCUCCGGGGACAUGUACCUCCAUGAAAGUGCAUUCAUCUCUAAAUGGCAUUGUGUGAUGGAAAUGUGGUUAAUGGAGCUAGUGACGAUUGUUGAGAUUAUUCUCAGGUCACUGGUGUCGGGGUUACGAUCCUGACAAUGAGUACUAGGGGUACGAAUAAGGGGCAAAACCUAGCUACGGCGCAGGUGUAACACUCGGUGUUUAGCGAGUUCAGGCCCCUCUCGACGGAGGUAAAAGCCCUACGUCUUGCUUUGAUUUUAUGGGUGUGGUUACAAAGAUUGCUCGUGUCUGGCUAUGGAGGGGGGUGCGACUUAUAUAGAGUGCGCAGCAGCCCCAUGUCUCCCACGCCGCCGAGGCAGUUAAUGACAUUGAAUGGGUCAGUUACCAGUAUAAUGAGCCUAUAUUACAACAGUUACAGGUAACGGUAGGUAUAACUCUAUUUAGUGGAUGACUUAGGAUUCCUCGACCGUUGCGGCUCCCACUACGCCCUCCCGCCUUCUAUGUCCGACUGGUGGUACAUCAGCCGAGUGACGUGUGGUUGUCCGAGUGUCGUCAAGUUGUCCGAGUGAACUUCCCGAUGUAUGCAUCUGAAUGUUGGCAUGGUCCAGGGACCUACCUAUGAUGGUGAUGGGUCCCAUGUGGGUCCCAAGUGAUGGGUCCUUGACCCUACACUACAAAAAAAUGCACUUCCGUGAUAAUACGUGUUUGUCACAGUAGGUCACUUUUUUGUCAUGCAUGUACAUCCAUGACGAUUUUAUGACAGAAUCAAGAUAGUCAUACUUGUGCUGUUGUAGAAGUGUUCCAUGACAAUACCAAAAUUAUCAUCACGGAAGUGUCCACUUCCAUGACGAUAAAUAGCGCGUCAUGGAAGUGCUUUCGUCAAGGGUAACCGACACGUGGCAUCCACCGUAACCGGUCGCCUUUAAGCUAUCGGGUUCCGGUUUGGAUCCGAUAACCCGUUAACCGCCCGGACCAAUGGGGAUUUUCCACAUGUAAAAUUCUGAUUCGCCUUAGUAUCCACGUGGCAGCUCCUGGUUGGGACAGGUGUCAUCAAGUGAGUGGACGGGACGAGCAUAUGGUACGUCGACACGUGGCUUAGCCCAACAGUGGCCCGUUUAGGUUAAAAGGCGGGUCCUGUCAAAAUAAGCGGGCUGGCCCAUUAGCGGCCUACUUGAGUCAGGGCCAUUCACAAGCACGACCCAUACAAGUUACACAAAAUCGGCCCAUCAAGGCCCAUUCUAGAUUUGACAAUUUUCAGCCCAUCGUCAGUUCCAGCCCGUUAAGAGUCCGCUACAUCUUUGGGCCCAAUUACGACCUGACCUUCUUUUGGCCUGUUAGCAGCCCAUCGUCAAUUCCAUCCCGUUAACGGCCCGGUACGUCUUUCGGCCUUUUCUCGGCCCAUUCUACAGUUGGGCCAACUUCUAGCCCGUUGUGACUUUCAGACUUUCCUCGGCCCAUUAGGUAAAUGGGCCAAUUCCUAGCUCAUUCUGUCUUUCGGCCUGUUAACGGCCCGCACAACAGUUGGUCCUUUGACGGUGUAACCUGAAUUUGGGUCCAUUAGCGGCCCACGUUCCGCAGGGCACAGUUUCAGCCCGACGCGACUUUCGGCCUGUUAAAAGCCUAGUUUGCAAAUUGGGCCUCUUCUGGCCCAAAACACUUCCGGCCUCUUACUGGCCCGUCGAGUAAAAGGGCCGAGACAAAAUUGACAUUUAUUUCGGCAUGCUAGUGCCCGCGGGCCAUUUCCAUUUAUACGGCCCUAUCGAGCUUUCGGCCUGUUAACGGCCUGCUAAGAGCCAUUGUUACGGUGGGCCACAUAAUUUGGGAUCCGCUAAAUAUUAAGUUGACCAACCCAAUUAAGGCCCGCUUUGACUACACAUGUUUGUUCGUUCGGAUGGCGUCCAGGUAAUGUUUGGGCGUGUUGGCCCCGUUUCAAUGAUAUACCAUAUACAAGGAAUUAUCCUACUUUAUACUAUCGCCUCUAAAAAACCUACACUAUACAAUAAAGAGAUUAAGACAUAGAAACGAAUAAUAAUCCUACACUAUACAAUAAAGAAAUUACAACGGAUUAUACCCACCAGUGAUAAUAAAGCGUACACAAACAGCAAAUUACAUACACUGGGCAAAUAAAGCUCAUACAUCAUCACGGGCGGAGACAGGAGCGAGCAGGGGCUAGACCCCCCCCCCAUCGAUAGGCCCCCCUCAAUGAAUCGAUCAGCCUAAUACUACUGUAUAGCAGCGUAUUAUCUGCUGAUGGCCAAUGUCCGUAGUUAAUUACUCCUGUAAAAAAAGUACAUUAAGGCCCAAAAACGUUGAUAGCCUGUAUCACAUGUACGUACCGAAGCCCACAACAGAGCCCAUAUUUAUCUUUGGAGUAUUAUUAGGCGAUGGUCAAUUGUGACCUAGCGCAAGCUAUUCAGAUCGAUCACCGAUUCUACUUGUACGCCGCUCACUGCUAUGCUUGUCACCAGCCGUCGCGGCGCCAUCUAUCCAAGCCCGUUGGCAUUGCCUUUGCCUGAGUAGAUCCUGCCGUGAUGAGGAGACGCCGACGUCCAUGCCAUCGGGCAUGAGCCCGUCGAUGAGCUUAUUUAUUCCUCAAGCAAUCAGGUACCACAUCCAGGGUAGUUAUUUUCUAAUGGAUUUCACAGUUGUUGUCUAAUUAACUACUAGUAGUGUUUCUUGAUUCUGUCUUAACUAGUUUACCACACGGCGCAAACUAAUCAAUAUUGCUUCACUUGGAUUUGUACGUCACUUUAUUAAUCUACAUAUUAGAUGCGUUUUUUGGUUCAUACGAGAUGACUUACUUGGACAUUAUCGCUAUACUCGAAAAUAAAUAGCAACAAAAUGUCAUCGGGAUGAGAUUAUCUCAUUGUUCAAUGAGCAUAUAGUUAUAAUCCAAUCAUAUGAACCUUUUUCAUAUUUACCAACAUAUUUUUGCUAUUUCUUUUAUCUCAGUGGUAUUGUUUAGAUAUAUUGUGUUAGAUGUAUUGUGCUUUAUCAUCCAAAUGAAAUUCUAAUACAAAACGACACACAGUUACUUGUGUGUUUGGAAAAGAAAAAUCUUUUGCGUGACCUUCCCCCCUCAUGUGCAAAUCCUGGCUCCGCCCCUCUACAUCAUGGGCACGCAUCAACAGAACUUACCAUUUGAACUAUAAUCUCUUCAAAAAAUAGGAUUGGCCGUUUCAGAUAGCACAAAUUUCAGUCUACAAAAUCUCCAAUUCCUUUGUGGUUACCUCAGUGUCUUGUUUCAUUUUUUUGACUCCUACAUCUAAUACCUGCAAGUCCAGUCUCAACAUGUUGAUUGCAUGUUGAGAAUCAUGUACACGUUGUCUUGCCACCUCUAGUUGAUGCUCGAGAACAUCGGCAUAUUCCAAUUCCAAUCCAUAAUCAUUUGGUAACGGCCAUGCCGCACUGCUCUCAGAUCAUUGUGUUGAUGUCACUUCAUCUUGAAAUGUUUAUGUAAGUACACAUGACUAGGGCAAAAAUAUAGUUACAACAGUGAAGCAAGCAAGACAGACUAUUUUGUACAUGGCAAAACAGGACUAACAAUAAUGUUACAUGUCAUGAAGCAUAAGCAGGUGAUAUUUUAAAAAUUAUAAAAAUGAUAGUUUGUGCAGCCCGCAUACAGAAAUCUCUCUUAGCUCACUAGAGGAGAAUGAUGUUGGGGCCAAAUCCAAAACACAGACAUGUUACAAAUUUAGACCACACGGAGCUACUGAACAUUAUAUAUAUAUACUAGCAAGAUGCCCGCGUGUUGCACGGAACAUCAAGAUGCAUUUGUAUGAGUAGUUUAUCUUGUGAGAGAAAAUGAUGAACGAGGGAAGGCCUUAUUUGCAAAUGUGGAGAGGGGUGUGAUAACCCACAAGUAUAGGGGAUCGUUUGUAGUAUUUUUCGAUAAAUAAGAGUGUCGAACCCAAUGAGGAGCUAAAGAUAGAACAAAUAUUCCCUCAAGUUCUAUCGACCACCGAUACAACUCUAAGCACACUUGACGUUUGCUUGCUUUACCUAGAACAAGUAUGAAACUAUUUUGCAAGAAUAAAACUACGAGUACUUUGCGAGAAUAAAACUACGAAUAAAUUGCAGGGCAAUAAAAGUGGAUAGCUUUUGUCAACAAGAAAGUCAAUUGUCCCAAGGCAAUCGAUAACAAGUACCGGUAAUCAUUCUUGCAAUUUUAUAUAAGGGAGAGGCAUGAGCUAACAUACUUUCUCUACUUGGAUCAUACGCACUUAUCAUUGGAUCCCUAGCAAGCAUCCGCAACUACCAAAGAUCAUUAAGGUCGUGAAACCCAACCAUAGCAUUAAGUAUCAAGUCCUCUUUAUCCCAUAUGCAACAAUCCACUUACUCGGGUUUAAGCUUCUGUCACUCUCGCAAUCCACCAUAAGCGAAUCAUGAACGCAUUGCAACACCCUACAGCGAGGACCCCUCAUGUUUGCGUGAGAUGAAGGGCACCGUAGGACAUCACCAUAAAUAAAAUAUACAAUCAUACUGCUACCUCUUGAGCACUGCGUUGGUUUUUCCCUUAAAGAGGAAAGGGUGAUGCAGUAAAGUAGCGUAAGUAUUUCUCUUAGUUUUUGAGAACCAAGGUAUCAAUCCAGUCGGAGACCACGCUCAAGUCCCUCGCACCUACACAAACAAAUAAGAAGCUCGCAACCAACACGAUAAAGGGGUUGUCAAUCCCUUCACGGUCACUUACGAUAGUGAGAUCUGAUAGAUAUGAUAAGAUAAUAUUUUUGGUAUUUUUAUGAUAAAGAUGCAAAGUAAAAUAAAAGGCAAUAAAAAUAGCUAAGUGUUGGAAGAUUAAUAUGAUGGAAAAUAGACCCGGGGGCCAUAGGUUUCGCUAGUGGCUUCUCUCAAGAGCAUAAGUAUUACGGUGGGUGAACAAAUUACUGUCGAGCAAUUGAUAGAAUUAAGCAUAGUUAUGAGAAUAUCUAGGUAUGAUCAUGUAUAUAGGCAUCACGUCCGUGACAAGUAGACCGACUCCUGCCUGCAUCUACUACUAUUACUCCACACAUCAACCGCUAUCCAGCAUGCAUCUAGAGUAUUAAGUUCAUAAGAACAGAGUAACGCUUUAAGCAAGAUGACAUGAUGUAGAGGGAUAAACUCAUGCAAUAUGAUAUAAACCCCAUCUUGUUAUCCUCGAUGGCAACAAUACAAUACGUGUCGUUUCCCUUUCUGUCACUGGGAUCGAGCACCGCAAGAUUGAACCCAAAGCUAAGCACUUCUCCCAUUGUAAGAAAGAUCAAUCUAGUAGGCCAAACCAAACUGAUAAUUCGAAGAGACUUGCAAAGAUAACCAAUCAUACAUAAAAGAAUUUAGAGGAGAUUCAAAUGUUGUUCAUAGAUAAACUUGAUCAUAAACCCACAAUUCAUCGGUCCCGACAAACACACCGCAAAAGAAGAUUACAUCGAAUAGAUCUCCACGAGAAUCGUGGAGAACUUUGUAUUGAGAUCCAAAGAGAGAGAAGAAGCCAUCUAGCUAAUAACUAUGGACCCGAAGGUCUGAGGUAAACUACUCACACAUCAUGAGAGGCUAUGGUGUUGAUGUAGAAGCCCUCCGUGAUCAGUGCCCCCUCCGGUAGGACGCCGGAAAAGGCCCCAAGAUGGGAUCUCACUGGUACAGAAGGUUGCGGCGGUGGAAUUAGGUUUUCAUGGAUGCCUCUGUUGGUUUGGGGGUACGUAGGUAUAUAUAGGAGGAAGAAGUACGUCGGUGGAGCAACGUGGGCCCCACGAGGGUGGAGGGCGCACCUGGGGGGUAGGCGCGCCCCCCUACCUCGUGCUCUCCUUGUUGCUUUCUUGGCGUAGACUCCAAGUCCUCUGGAUCACGUUUGUUCCGAAAAUCACGUUCCCAAAGGUUUCAUUCCGUUUGGACUCCGUUUGAUAUUCUUUUUCUGCGAAACACUGAAAUAGGCAAAAAACAGCAAUUUGGGCUGGGCCUCCGGUUAAUAGGUUAGUCCCAAAAAUAAUAUAAAAGUGUAUAAAUAAGCCCAUUAAACAUCCAAAACAGAAUAUAAUAUAGCAUGGAACAAUAAAAAAUUAUAGAUACGUUGGAGACGUAUCAAGCAUCCCCAUGCUUAAUUCCUGCUCGUCCUCGAGUAGGUAAAUGAUAAUACUUCAAGCAUACUAACUAAGCAAUUAUGUCUUCUCAAAAUAACAUGGCCAAAGAAAGUUAUCCCUGCAAAAUCAUAUAGUCUGGCUAUGCUCUAUCUUCAUCACACAAAAUAUUUAAAUCAUGCACAACCCCGAUGACAAGCCAAGCAAUUGUUUCAUACUUUUGGUGUUCUCAAACUUUUUCAAUCUUCACGCAAUACAUGAGCGUGAGCCAUGGACAUAGCACUAUAUGUGGAAUAGAAUGGUGGUUGUGGAGAAGACAAAAAAGGAAGAAGAUGGUCUCACAUCAACUAGGCGUAUUAACGGGCUAUGGAGAUGCCCAUCAAUAGAUAUCAAUGUGAGUGAGUAGGGAUUGCCAUGCAACGGAUGCACCAGAGCUAUAAGUAUAUGAAAGCUCAACAAAAGAAAAUAAGUGGGUGUGCAUCCAACUUGCUUGCUCAAGAAGACCUAGGGCAUUUUGAGGAAGCCCACCAUUGGAAUAUACAAGCCAGGUUCUAUAAUGAAAAUUACCCACUAGUAUAUGAAAGUGACAACAUAAGAGACUCUCUAUCAUGAAGAUCAUGGUGCUACUUUGAAGCACAAGUGUGGUAAAAAGGAUAGUAGCAUUGUCCCUUCUCUCUUUUUUCUCUCAUUUUUUAUAUAUGGCCUUUCUCUUUUUUAUGGCCUUUCUCUUUUUUUUUUCUUUUUUUUUAGUACGGAGUCUCAUCCCGACUUAUGGGGGAAUCAUAGUCUCCAUCAUCCUUUCCUCACUUGGGACAAUGCUCUAAUAAUGAUGAUCAUCACACUUUUAUUUUCUUACAACUCAAGAAUUACAACUCAAUACUUAGAACAACAAUAUGACUCUAUGUGAAUGCCUCCGGCGGAAUACCGAGAUAUGCAAUGAAUCAAGAGUGACAUGUAUGAAAGAAUUAUGAACAGUGGCUUUGCCACAAAUACAAUGUCAACUACAUGAUCAUGCAAAGCAAUAUGACAAUGAUGGAGCGUGUCAUAAUAAACGGAACGGUGGUAAGUUGCAUGGCAAUAUAUCUCGAAAUGGCUAUGGAAAUGCCAUGAUAGGUAGGUAUGGUGGCUGUUUUGAGGAAGGUAUAUGGUGGGUGUAUGAUACCGGCGAAAAGUGUGCGGUAUUAGAGAGGCUAGCAAUGGUGGAAGGAUGAGAGUGCGUAUAAUCCAUGGACUCAGCAUUAGUCAUAAAGAACUCAUAUACUUGUUGCAAAAAUCUAUUAGUUAUCGAAACAAAGUAUUACGCGCAUGCUCCUAGGGGGGUAGAUUGGUAGGAAAAGACCAUCGCUCGUCCCCGACCGCCACUCAUAAGGAAGAUAAUCAAUAAAUAAAUCAUGCUUCGACUUCAUCACAUAACGGUUCACCAUACAUGCAUGCUACGGGAAUCACAAACUUUAACACAAGUAUUUCUCAAAUUCAAAACUACUCAACUAGCAUGACUCGAAUAUUACCAUCUUCAUAUCUCAAAACAAUUAUCAAGCAUCAAACUUCUCAUAGUAUUCAACACACUCAUAAGAUUUUUUUUACUAAUCUUGAAUGCCUAUCAUAAUUAAAGCAAAUUACCACGUUGUUUUGUAGGACUCUCAAAAUAAUAUAAGUGAAGCAUGAGAGAACAAUAGUUUCUAUAAAAUAAAUCCACCGCCGUGCUCUAAAAGAUAUAAGUGAAGCACUCGAGCAAAAACUAUAUAGCUCAAAAGAUAUAAGUGAAGCACAUAGAGUAUUCUAACAAUUUCCGAAUCAAGUGUGUCUCUCUCAAAAGGUGUGUACAGCAAGGAUGAUUGUGGCAAACUAACAAAUAAAUACUCAAACAAUACAAGACGCUCCAAGCAAAACACAUAUCAUGUGGUGAAUAAAAAUAUAGUUCCAAGUAAAUUUACCGAUGGAUGAGGACGAAAGAGGGGAUGCCUUCCGGGGCAUCCCCAAGCUUUGGCUUUUAGGUGUCCUUAGAUUAUCUUGGGGUGCCAUGGGCAUCCCCAAGCUUAGGCUCUUGCCACUCCUUGUUCCAUACUCCAUCAAAUCUUUACCCAAAACUUGAAAACUUCACAACACAAAACUUAACAGAAAAUCUCGUGAGCUCCGUUAGCGAAAGAAAAUAAAACACCAGUUCAAGGUACUGUAAUGAACUCAUUCUUUAUUUAUAUUGGUGUUAAACCUACUGUAUUCCAACUUCCCUAUGGUUUAUAAACUAUUUUACUAGCCAUAGAUUCAUCAAAAUAAGCAAACAACACCCGAAAAACAGAAUCUGUCAAAAACAGAACAGUCUGUAGUAAUCUAUAACUAACGCAAACUUCUGGAACUCAAAAAAAUCUACCAAAAUAGGACGACAUAGAAAAUUUGUUUAUUGUUCUGCUGCAAUUGGAAUCAAUAUUUUAUCACGUUCUGGUGAUUUUCAACAAUUGUUUUUGUGAACAGAAAGUUUCUGGAAUUUUCAGCAAGAUCAAAUAACUAUCAUCCAAGAAGAUCCUAUAGGUUUAACUUGGCACAAACACUAAUUAAAACAUAAAAACAAAUCUAACCAGAGGCUAGAUCAAAUAUUUAUUCCUAAACAGGAGCAAAAGCAAAACUAAAACUAAAAUAAAAUUGGGUUGCCUCCCAACAAGCGCUUUUCUUUAAAGCCUUUUAGCUAGGCAUAGACGCGAGGAUGCUCACAUGAAAGACAAGAAUUGAAGUGCAAAGAGAGCAUCAUAAAACACGUGACAAACACAUCUAAGUCUAACAUACUUCCUAUGCAUAGGCAUCUUAUAGGCAAACAAAUUAUCAUAGCAAGCAAAAACUAGCAUAUGCAAGGAAGCGGAAAGAAACGAUAGCAAUCUCAACAUAACGAGAGGUAAUUUAUUAUCAUGAAAAUUUCUACAACCAUAUUUUCCCCUCUCAUAAUACUUGCAUGUGGGAUCAUAAGCAAAUUCAACAAAAUAGCUAUCACAUAAAAUAUUUUCAACACGAUCCACAUGCAUGCAAAGUUGGCACUCUUCCAAAAUAGUGGGAUUGACAUUAACUAAAGUCAUGACCUCUCCAAACCCACUUUUAUCAAAAAAUUCAUCAGAUUGAACAUUAUCCAAAUAUGUGGGAUCUAAAGUUGACAUUCUUCCAAACCCAAUUUCAAUAUUAUUGCAAACAUUAUUAUCAAUCUCAUAUUCAUCACGGGGCUUAAAUAAAUUUUCAAGAUCAUAAGAAGAAUCCCCCCAAUCAUGAUCGUUGCAACAAGUAGUAGACAUAGCAAAACUAGCAUCCCCAAGCUUAGGGUUUUGCAUAUUAUUAGCACAACUGACAUCAAUAGAAUUUAUAAUAAAAUCAUUGCAAUCAUGCUUUUUAUUCAAAUAUCUAUCGUGAAUCGCUUCAUAAAGUACUUCAUCACAAUUUUCAGAUUCAUGAAUUUCAAGCAAAACCUCGUAAAGAUAAUCUAGUGCACUCAACUCACUAGCAAUAGGUUCAUCAUAAUUGGAUCUCUUAAAGAGAUUAGCAAGUGGAUGAAGAUCCAUAAACUUUUAGCAAGCGAAGAUGCAAGCAAAAAGAAGGUACAUGGUAACACAAGCAAACAAAAGAUCGAACGGAAGAAGGCCGAAUAAAACGGCAAAGGUGAAGUGGGGGAGAGGAAAACGAGUGGCAAAAGGCAAAUAAUGUAAUGCGAGGGAUAAGAGUUUGUGAUGGGUACUUGGUAUGUCUUGACUUGACUUGACUUGGCGCGAAUCUCCCCGGCAACGGCGCCAGAAAUCCUUCUUGCUACCUCUUGAGCACUGCGUUGGUUUUUCCCUUGAAGAGGAAAGGGUGAUGUAGUAAAGUAGCGUAAGUAUUUCCCUCAGUUUUUGAGAACCAAGGUAUCAAUCCAGUAGGAGACCACGCUCAAGUCCCUCACACCUACACAAACAAAUAAGAACCUCGCAACCAACGCGAUAAAGGGGUUGUCAAUCCCUUCACGGUCACUUACGAUAGUGAGAUCUGAUAGAUAUGAUAAGAUAAUAUUUUUGGUAUUUUUAUGAUAAAGAUGCAAAGUAAAAUAAAAGGCAAUAAAAAUAGCUAAGUGUUGGAAGAUUACUAUGAUGGAAAAUAGACCCCGGGGCCAUAGGUUUCACUAGUGGCUUCUCUCAAGAGCAUAAGUAUUACGGUGGGUGAACAAAUUACUGUCGAGCAAUUGAUAGAAUUGAGCAUAGUUAUGAGAAUAUCUAGGUAUGAUCAUGUAUAUAGGCAUCACGUCCGUGACAAGUAGACCGACUCCUGCCUGCAUCUACUACUAUUACUCCACACAUCGACCGCUAUCCAGCAUGUAUCUAGAGUAUUAAGUUCAUAAGAACAGAGUAACGCUUUAAGCAAGAUGACAUGAUGUAGAGGGAUAAACUCAUGCAAUAUGAUAUAAACCCCAUCUUGUUAUCCUCGAUGGCAACAAUACAAUACGUGUCAUUUCCCUUUCUGUCACUGGGAUCGAGCACCGCAAGAUUGAACCCAAAGCUAAGCACUUCUCCCAUUGCAAGAAAGAUCAAUCUAGUAGGCCAAACCAAACUGAUAAUUCAAAGAGACUUGCAAAGAUAACCAAUCAUACAUAAAAGAAUUCAGAGAAGAUUCAAAUAUUGUUCAUAGAUAAACUUGAUCAUAAACCCACAAUUCAUCGGUCCCGACAAACACACCGCAAAAGAAGAUUACAUCGAAUAGAUCUCCACGAGAAUCAUGGAGAACUUUGUAUUGAGAUCUAAAGAGAGAGAAGAAGCCAUCUAGCUAAUAACUAUGGACCCGAAGGUCUGAGGUAAACUACUCACACAUCAUCGGAGAGGCUAUGGUGUUGAUGUAGAAGUCCUCCGUGAUCAAUGCCCCCUCCGGCAGGACGCCGGAAAAGGCCCCAAGAUGGGAUAUCAUGGGUACAGAAGGUUGCGGCGGUGGAAUUAGGUUUUCGUGGAUGCCUUUGUUGGUUUGGGGGUACGUAGGUAUAUAUAGGAGGAAGAAGUACGUCAGUGGAGCAACGUGGGCCCCACGAGGGUGGAGGGCGCGCCUGGGGGGGUAGGCGCGCCCCCUGCCUCGUGCUCUCCUUGUUGAUUUCUUGGCGUAGACUCCAAGUCCUCCGGAUCACGUUUGUUCCGAAAAUCACGUUCCCGAAGGUUUCAUUCCGUUUGGACUCCGUUUGAUAUUCUUUUUCUGCGAAACACUGAAAUAGGCAAAAAAAACAGCAAUUUGGGCUGGGCCUCCGGUUAAUAGGUUAGUCCCAAUAAUAUAAAAGUGUAUAAAUAAGCCCAUUAAACAUCCAAAACAGAAUAUAAUAUAGCAUGGAACAAUAAAAAAUUAUAGAUACGUUGGAGACGUAUCACAUACCAACCAAGAUCACGAUUAACCCACAGAACAAAACGGAUCUACUCAAACAUCAUAGGAUAAGCAUAGAUUAUGGGGAAAUAAUAUAUGGAGUUGAGCACCAUGUUUAAGUAGAGAUUACAGCGGGGAGAAGGGGUGUUACACCACUGCAUAGAGGGGGAGAGAGUUGGUGCUGACGGUAGCAAGAUUGCUAAUGUAGAUCGCCGUCACGGUCCUAGCCCCGGCGGCACUCCGGCGCCACCGGGAGAGAGCCCCCUCCUUCUUCUUCUUCCUUGGCCUCCCCCUAGACGGGAGGGGAGUUCCCCCUCUGGUCCAUGGCCUCCAUGGUAGUGGAGGGGCGGGAGCCCCUCCGAGAUUGGAUCUCCCUCCCAGUUCUCUUCUGUUUCGCGUUCCCAAAAUCGGGCCGAGAACCGUUUCUUAUAUUCCCGGAGAUCCGUAACUCCAAUUGCGCUGAGAUUUUAACACGAGUUUUUUUUCCGGAUAUAAGCUUCCUUGCGCGCGAAGUAGAGCCCCAACCGACGUACGAGGUGAGCACAACCCACCACCAUGCGUCUGGCCCCUGGGGCGCACCUGGUGUCUUGUGGGCACUAUGGGCCCCCGUUUGCGUUGAUUCCAAGUAAUAUAUUCCAAAAUAAUUCUUCGUAAAAUUUUAUCGCGUUUGGACUUUGUUUGAUAUGGAUUUUCUACGAAACAAAAAAACAUGCAACAAACAGGAACUGGCACUAGGCACUAGAUCAAUAUGUUAGUCCAAAUAAAACAUAUAAAAUGUUGCCAAAAUAUGUGAAAGUUAUAUAAUAUUGGCAUGAAAUAAUCAAAAAUUAUAGAUACGACGGAGGCGUAUCAGGGUGUGGGUAUCCUUUUGCGAAAUUGCCAUAGUUUCCUUCCUAUCCGUCAGAUAUAAAUCGGACGACCUAUAUUGCAGGAUGGCAGACACACCAUCAUCACCAACUCUAUUUUUUAUAAGAGUAGAGAUAGAGACAGAGAUAGAGAUAGAGAGUAGAUAUAUUAUUAUAUAUCUUGCGUAUAAGUAAGCAAGCAGUUGGCCAUUCUGUAGCUUAAUUAAAGUCUUAGGGAGCAUAAUGAACAGCAGAGGGAUUCAUACAAACCUACUACAGCAAGCAAAACUAUGCAAUCAUUAGCCUCGUAUAAACUAGAUUGUGGGCCUCAUGCAGUAAUAGUUGGUUAAUAGACUUCGAAGCUUCAGGCACACUUCACCAGAGUAAUUAAAUGGUAAGGACUUUAAUUAUGUCAACUAAUAGUUAUACAAGUACCUGAUGCGGCUUGAACUACGUCGGUAUUUCCUUAAAGAGGAAGGGAUGAUGCAGCACAACUACGAUAGGUAUUUCCCUCAGUGAUGAGACCAAGGUUAUCGAACCAAUAGGAGAACCACGUAACACCACGUAAACACCUCCUGCACACAAAGAACAAAUAUUUGCAACCCGACGUAAGAGAGGGGUUGCCAAUCCCUCACAGGUAAAAAGAUAGGUAAAAUUAUAGUAGACUGGAUAAAUAGAUCUCGCGGGAACACGAGAUAAAAUAAAUAACAAUAAAUUGCAGCAAGGUAUUUUUGUAUUUUUGGAUUAACAGAUCUGAAAAUAAAAUCAAAUAAAAAUAGAUCGCGAAGGCAAAUAUAAUUAAGAAGAGACCCGGGGGCCGUAGAUUUUACUAGUGGCUUCUCUCGAGAAAAAUAGCAUAAGGUGGGUAAACAGAUUACUAUGGGGCGAUUGAUAGAACUUCAAAUAAUCAUGACGAUAUCUAGGCAAUGAUCAUUAUACAGGCACCACGUCCAAGAUUAGUAGACUGACUCCUGCCCGCAUCUACUACUAUUACUCCACACAUCGACCACUAUCGAGCAUGCAUCUAGUGUAUUAAGUUCAUGGAGAAACAGAGUAAUGCAAUAAGAAUGAUGACAUGAUGUAGACAAGAUAUAUUUAUGUAGAAAUAGACCCCAUCUUGUUAUCCUUAAUAGCAACGAUACAUACGUGUCGGUUCCCCUUCUGUCACUGGGAUCAAGCACCGUAAGAUCGAACCCAUCACAAAGCACCUCUUCCCAUGGCAAGAAAAAUUGAUCUAGUUGGCCUAACUAAACCGAAGAUUCGAAGAAGAAAUACGAGGCUAUAAGUAAUCAUGCAUAUAAGAGAUCAAAAAACUCAAAUAACUUUCAUGGAUAAAAACGUAGAUCAGAUCUGAUCAUAAACUCAAAGUUCUUCGGAUCCCAACAAACACAUUGCAAAAAGAGUUACAUCAAAUAGAUCUCCAAGAGACCAUUGUAUUGAGAAUCAAAAGAGAGACAGGAAGCCAUCUAGCUACUAACUACGGACCCGUAGGUCUACAAUGAACUACUCACGCAUCAUCAGAGAGGCACCAAUGAGGAUGAUGAACCCCUCCGUGAUUGUGUCUAGAUUGGAUCUGGUGGUUCUGGAACUUGCGGCGGCUGGAAUUGAUUUUCGUCGACUCCCCUAAGGUUUCUGGAAUAUUGGGGUAUUUAUAGAGCAAAGAGGCGGCGCGGGAGGCCACCGAGGUGGGCACAACCCACCUAGGCGUGCGUGGGUCCCCAGGCGCGCCCUGGUGGGUUGUGCUCCCCUCAUCGCACCCCUCAGGUACUUUCUUGGCCCAUCUGGUGUCUUCUGGUCUAGAAAGAACCCACAAAAAGUUUCGCUGCAUUUGGACUCCGUUUGAUAUUGAUUUCCUGCGAUGUAAAAAACAGCAACUAGCACCGGGCACUAUAUAUGUCAAUAGCUUAGUCCCAAAAAAUGAUACAAAGUUGCUAUAAAAUGAUUGUAAAACAUCCAAGAAUGAUAAUAUAACAGCAUGGAACAAUCAAAAAUUAUAGAUAUAUUAGAGACGUAUCAGUAACCAACAUCAGGCAUCAUUGUUUGGGCAUCUCAUUAACUGAGGACAAAUAAAGCAAUUGAAAAGAGCAAUUUAACUAUGCCUGAAACAAACAAGCAAUUGAACUGUUGAGUUGGCAGCAUGCAUACAUGCACGCCUCAAUAACAUCCAUGGCCUAGCUACAUUUACUAUAUAAAGGAACAAGCAAUGUAAUAUUGUUUGCCCCCUAUGAAGUAUCUCGACUAGUAUGUAAUCAAGAUCCUAGUAAUGAUAGGGAGGCUAAUGAUGUGAAUAUGCAUCUGGUUAUGACAUAUAUGACAUCGACAACUCUACCAUAGCAGGAAGCAGCUUCACACUGUUCACUACUAUAAGAUGUUUUAGAUAUUCGACUACAUCCGUAAUAGUGAACAGACACAUUAAAAUGUGUUUACAUACAUCUGAUUUACAAAAAAGUUAGAAUAUCAUAUAAUAGUGAGCGAAGGGGUUUUAAUCAAUGGCCAAAUGACUGGGUUACAAGUGAAGAACCCUACGCAAGCACAAUGUCAGACAAAUAGGAUGUCCUGGUAAUUGUAAUACAGUGACUUACCAUAACUGGUUGAACAGGCUCAGCGUUGCUCCUCCUUCUCUUGCCAAGCUCCUUCCUAACAUCUUGUACUUGGAAAUCCUCAAUCUUAUCUUCAUUGCACCCCCUCUGCAAGGUGACACAAACUAGUUACUGGUCUCCUUGGAAGAUAAAUAUGCAUACUUUCCAGUCCGUGAACAACACAAAAGGAUGAGUUUAUAACAAAACAACACCACAUAACAUGCCACGUCUCUUGCACACAAUGAAAUGAGCAUUUACUAUGUGUUCACUAUGUAAAAACUAGGCAUACCUUCGAACUGGAUCUCCAGGUACUCUUGGAGAGCCUACUUUAGUGUACAGCAAAACCUUUAUGUCACCUAUGAGUUAUACAAGCCCCCACUGCAGCAGCCCUUAGUGUUUAAAUCGUUGACAAGCUCUGUUAGGUCAAGAACAACAAGUAAUCAAAGCAAACAGUCCUGGUAUGGCUGGCUGAUACAAACAAGCAAUUGCACAGAUGUGUGAGCAAAUCUUGCACGACAUUGAAUUAUAUAGCAAGAAAAGAAGCAUAGAAGGAGGCUUAAAGACCAUCACUUGACUGACCAGAUUUAAGGGGCAUUUAAACAUCAUGUGCAACAUAUGAACUAACAUAAACAUUGCAUAUUUCAGAUUCUACAAUGAAAUGCACAUGUAUUAGGUUAUGCCAUGUAUGAUGCCUAAAUGUACACUAUAGCAGGCAGGAGUGAUUCAUCAUUGCACCCACAAUUGAAUUACAGGUUAAGGGCUAGUUCUAUUCCGACUUUUCAGAGCUUAUUGUCAAAAUAAGCCAUGAAAGAUGUAAAGAAGUCAUUUUUGAGUUAUGGGCUUGGGCUUAACUUAUUUCGCUCGGGGGGGGGGGGGUGCUUCGGGUCGAAGCUCACUAAAAAUUGAAGGGAAGGGGAAUAGUGAAACGACUCUGUUGUCUGCCUAUAUUACAAUCAAAAUGCCACUGCUCACGCCCGCGUCACACUGACCCUCAAGUAAAAACAAACACGCAAGCGUUCAUUGCCCUGCCCGCUUGCAUCUCAUCUCCCCUUUCCCUCUACCUCGAUCCCCUACCUGCAGCGCUAGGGUUCCUCCAGCGCGCCGUCACCACUGGUCCCAUCUAGCCUGCUCCUUGAUGAUGCUCUGUACAGCUAGGCUACAUGGCCAGCGGGUAGGGCCGAAUCUCCCCGGCUCCUCCUCCCUCUGGCGCCGCCCCUCACUCUCAUGGUCUCCAGCAGCUGCUCCGCUAUGCUCCGUCCAACGCACUACUCCGACGGUCGCCGCACAACUACGUCGAUGCCCCACUCCAAUAGAAGGCACCUCGUUCCCCCUCCCCUCCUCCCAGGCCGUGGCCUCGAGGUGCUGUUGAAAGAUGAGCUCAUCUAAUAAGGUGAGGAUCUCCUCUGAUUUUUUGCCAAAUUUUCAUUCUGAUCCGCUAUACAAUGAAUUGCUAUGAGCUGCUGCUGCUAUAUGAUGCAUUGCUAUGAGCUGCUCCUGCUGCUGCUAUAUGAUGAAUUGCUAUGAGCUGUUGCUGCUAUAUGAUGAAUUGCUAUGAGCUGCUGCUGCUAUAUGAUGAGUUGCUAUAAGCUGCUCCUGCUGCUUCUAUAUGAUGAAUUACUAUGAGCUACUCCUGCCGCUACUAUAUGAUGAAUUACUAUGAGUUGCUACUACUGCUGCUAUAUGAUGAAUUGCUAUGAGCUGCUGCUGGUAUAUGAUGAAUUGCUAGGUGCUGCUCCUGCUGUUGUAUGAUGAGUUGCUAUGAGCUGAUGCUGAUAUAUGAUGCUUUCAGGUGGUGCUACUAUAUGAUAAUAACCAACCACUUAGACCAACGAAUUUCGAUAAAUAAUGGUUCUUCAUUUAAAUUUAGGUCAUGCGUUCUUCAUUUAAAUUAGGCAAUGGGAUCUCUACGAAAAACAAUGCCCAAAGUAGAUUGUGCCAAGUAGAUGGUAUCUUUGUAUUUGCAUUUUGAACAAAUAUUGAUGGUCUGUUUUCCUAUCAUAUUAAUUACUGCACUGGGUUCAAUUUGUGAUGUUUGCAAGACAAUUAAUUUUCAUAUGGGUAGCAAAAUGACAAAAUAUAGUGCAAUCUAGACUUUUCGCUGAUCAUACCACAAAUAAGCUGAAAAGGCAGACAAUGAAAAGAACUGGCUGGCUUAUUAUCUGGAGCUUAUAUUGAAAGUUGCUUAUUUUCUUAGGAUAACUCGAAAUAACUGUCCCUAAGAAACUCGGCCAACAGCACUGACAUACAAAUAACAUGUCACGAUGAUUGCAAUGGAGAGUGACCUACCAUAGCACAAUGUAUAGGCUCACCGUUGCCUCUCCUUUUUUUGGGAUGUUCCAUGAAAUUGCCACAUACAUCUUGUACUAAGAAAUCUUGUACUUUUUCAUUGCGUAACCCUAUCUGUAAGUUGACACGGCUAAUUUCAGAUAUCUCUACAUGAUAAUACAUUGCAUAUCCCUUGCGCAUAUUUAAACCACAAUUAACGAUUGUGUGUGUAGCAUAAACUAGCCAUGACUGUGUGUUCUGGACUAGCAGGCACUCUAAGGGAGCCUAAUGUAGUGCACUGGAAUUCCUACAUGCCACCUAUGAUUUUGUGUAAUGUAGUAUCAUGUAUGACAUCUACAUCUCUAAUUUAGCAGCCAGUAGUGAAAAUCAUUGUCUGCACAAAGGGAUUACUGGUCGAAAAUCGUAGCAAAGCACGCUGGCAGCACACGACAAUACAAGAGAGAGAGACGCACUUACAAGAUCAUAGCAAUGCCUCAGUCCAGGAUCUUGGUUGGCCAAGCUGUUAGAUCCAGAAGAAAUGUCGUCCUUGUAGUUUCUGCCAGCUGCAUAACAUGUAACAGUGACCUGUUAGUAUAUUUGAAGUACAUCGGGCAGGUGAUGCUGGAUGGGUUUAAAGGUGACAAGUACCUAGGCCGCGGCGAGUGCUUGGCAUCUUACCAGCCGGUGGGAAUCAGGUUAGAAACGUCAAGGGUGAUGACGCUGCGCUGGCUGUCGCGGUCCGGUAAGGAUAUCUAGAACCGUGGAGUAGGGUGUUUGUGGAGCGGCUCCGGUAGGAUGGACUAUGGUGUGGGCGAAGCGGAUCUGAGCCCGUGGACGAGGGCGUCGGUGAAGCUGCUUCGGUGGCUGGGUUCAAGAUAGUGUCGACGAUGCGGAUCUGCGGCCGUGGACGGGGCGUCAAAAGCUGCUCCGGUAGGUUGGACGAGGGUGCGACAAAGCGGAUCUCAGGCCGUGGACUUGGGCAUUGGCAAAGCAGCCCCGGUAGGGUUGAGAAUGGUAUAGGCGAAGCUACUCCGAUAGGGUUGAGGAUGGUGUCGGCGAAGCGGCUUCGGUAGGGUUGAGAAAGGUGUCGACGAAGAGGAUUAGAGGCCGUCGAUGGGGGCGUCGGUGGGGCGGCCCGGGGGUGUGGACGAAGCGUCUCUAGUGGGGAGUACGAAGGAGCCACUACAGAUGCUCUGCAGUUGACGAGAGUACCAGCGAAGCAGAUCCGGCGUCGUGGACAAGGCCAGCACUGAAUGGGCUGUGGCACAGUGCUGGAUGAGCAAUCUACUUGUUUCUAGGGGAGGUGGGAGGGGUAGAUGCAGCCGCAGAAGCAGAUCCGGCGAGGUGGAUGCCGGUGUUAGUGAAUGGGCUCUGGUAUGCCGGUGGACGAGCAGUGUAGGGUUUCGAGAGGGGAGGGGUAGUAAGGCCGAUGAAGUACGGACGGCGUGAUGUAAGAUGCUCUGGUUCUGUGGAGUAGUCAUUUUUGCGGGAGGGGGUGAGGAAAUGGGGGUGCCGUGUGGUGGGGGGAACCGAAAGCUACCAAAGCAGCCCAGACCUAUUAUGUAAAUGAGGGCCUUAUUGUAACUAUUGUUCUCCGUGCACCAAGGACAGAAGGGGGACUUCGCAUGCUAAAGACUAGGUGGCGGAAAUUUUAAAAGGAGGCGAGAGAUUUUGCCGCCCGCGGGAUCGUUCAUAUCCAGUUUCAACAAAUUUUGGACAGUGCUAGCGGGAAGGUCAUUCGAGACUGUGUACACGGGGCACACGUCGGCACUUAAGAACUGGUAUGAAGUCCAUCGCAGAAAAAAGACAAUAACUCGGGAUGAUGCACCAAUGACUUGGACGUUCACAUGGGCGCAACCAAUCGUACGGGUGUAGAGGCGCGUUCACAAAAAAGGGAUCAAACGCUCAACCUAUGUUUUUCUCGUGUAAAUAUAUAAUUUAGUGCCAUUGGUUAUUUAUUUUAAAGAUAACGCAUAGACGUGUUAAUUUUAGUAUAUAGGCACAGAAAGAAAUGGAUAUUGUAGUCCCACAAAAAAUGGAUAAUGUAGUCCGCUACUUAAAAGUGUUACCUCAUAUGAUUGCAUGGCCUCCAUUUCAUAAAAUGUGUACCCGUUGAAUUCAUAUAUGAAUAUACAUAUAUUACUUCAUAAUAGAACCUUAAAUCAUCCAAGACUAAUGGAUUUGAAUGCAAAACUAAAAAUGGUGCAUCUACAUGAUAACUACAAUGGUUGUUUGAAGAAACAUCACUCAAACUUUGGCAUGCACAAUUGAAAAGGACUAUUUGGAAAAAAUGUGAUAUGUGAGUGUCCAAUCUUUAUAGCGUUGAAUCGAUAUUGUAUCUUUGGCCACGAUACGAAGUAGAUAUUGAUUUAUGUUCAAGCAAUGCACGUCCACGGUCGCUAGAUAGUGAUACGUGAAUGAAUUGUGCAAUCUCUCUCACACACGUACAUAUCUCAUUUCUCCUUGGGCAUCGGAAUCACACACGCGCACUUCGUGUGUUUCUCUCCCUCCGUCAAGGUUAGAAUCCGUCUUUCUACCCCGUCCUACAAGUCUCUCACAUAAAAACACACACGCUCUCUCUGUCGAACACACCCACCCCUUUAAUUCCUCCCACCCACCGCCACUAAUGUCUCAAAGUAUAACUAUGUCUCGCACACAUAUGUGUAAGGUUAACUCGAGUCCCGGAACCAUAUGAAUACAUACAAUGGGAUUCCAGCACAACACCUUUUGUUUUGAGAUUUCACUCACACACAAACACACACACGUGCGCGCGCCAUUUGUUUAUCUCCGUGAUGCUUUAUGUAUGCCUCGUACACAUGCUAUCUACCUAUCCCUUAAUAUAUAUAUAUAUAUAUAUAUAUAUAUAUAUAUAUAUCACACAAAUUCCUUCUCCCUAUAUCUAAGUGUCACUGCCCCCCCACCUACACACACCCACUUCUCGACACCGAAGGAGUAGGGUGACACCUCGAUCUUGAUACCAAUCUAUAUACUAGCUUCUCUCUCAAACACACACAUACACACUCGCUAGUUGUGCCUUUGUGCCUACCGCGCGCACACUCUCGAUAUGUCUUUCUCUCCCUCCCCCUUCCCACCCCCAACAAUGACAAUAGAAGGGUGACAACUCGAUCUUGAUUUUAAUCUAUCAAUUGGCUUCUCUCUCAAACACACACACGCGCGCGCGCGCUAGUUGUGUCUUUGUGCCUCGCUCACACACACUCGAUACGUCUUUCUCUCCAUAACCCCCUGAUAUGUAGAAUUCUCGCGCGCGCACAACUCUAGUGACGCUGACGCUGAACCCAGUGUGCCUUGUUUUUACUGGCCUCAUGUGAUAGUUUUCACCCUGUUUUCUGUUAAUUAACAAGGCAACCUUUUCUUUGUUACUACUAGUGAAUUUGAGAUCAUUCGGGCAGACAUAAAAUAUAUCACUUCAACCAAAUUAUCGCAGUAACUAUUUAAAAAGAAACUAGCAAGAUGCCCGUGCGUUGCAUGGAACAUCAAGAUGCAUUAUUAUGAGUAGUUUAUCUUGUGAGAGAAGAGGAUGAACGAGGGAAGGCCUUAUUUGCAAAUGUGGAGAGGGGUGUGGGUAUCUUUUUGCAAAAUUGCCAUAGUUUCCUUCCUAUCUGUCGGAGAUAAAUUGAAGGGCCUAUAUUGCAGGAUGGCAGGCAGACCAUCAUCACCAACUCUAUUUUUUUAUGAGAGUAUACUAGCAACACGAAACAUCUAGAUGCAUUUGUAUGAGUAGUUUAUCUUUUGAGAGAAAAGGGUGAACGAGGGAAGGCCUUAUUUGCAAAUGUGGAGAGGGUGUGGGUAUCUUUUUGCAAAAUUGCCAUAGUUUCCUUCCUAUCCGUCAGAUAUAAAUCGGACAACCUAUGUUGUAGGAUGACAGGCACACCAUCAUCACCAACUCUGUUUUUUAUAAGAGUAGUAUCAUCCCAUAGAGUACUUAGAAUACAAGAUUAAGGAUGGAUUUGUUUCUUUUUAGCUUUCUGUACAAAUUUGUAGCCACCCUGCAAGUCAUGUACACUGUACAUGCAAUUAAAUUUUUAUAGAGGGAGAAUUAUACACGCAAUUAACUCAAAUGGAUUGGAUGUGACUAUUAUUCUCUAACGGCAACCGACAAAUUACCUCCCGCUUCCUUCCGCGAAGGACAACAUCCAACGCCAGCGGCAUACAUUUUCACAACUCUAACCAACCAGAGGAAAUUCGUGCAAACACAGACUGGUUUCAUAUAAGCAUGAAGGAGUUCGUAUAAAAAGCCGGAUCUUCAUAUAAACAUGACGGAUUUCAUUACAUUUACAUGAACUAAGCGGUGCUAAUCCGGCUCUCGUGGUAUAAUUAAUACCUAAUCUAAAUGGCCGCCCACGGAUCCCUUUGUCUUCCUCAUGUUCGGCAAACACUUUCAGGGUCGUCGAAGGUCCUCGCAAGAGACGAAGCAGCCAAGAAACCACUUGUAUAUGCAGUCGUCGCCUCGGUGUUGGUCUUCAUGGGACCCAAGCAGUGGCGGCCUCCCGUGUUCUACUUCUCCUCGAUGAUGGCGGUGGACACGGAGAAGUUGGCCACCAACUCGUCGCUCUCCGCGCACCCGACUUCUGUCUCUGCCUGCAUGGCGCUGCCACAGGCACGGGAGGAGCGCCCACAGACAUGGGAGGCGCGGCCACCGCAGACACUGGUGGCGCGGUACGAUGCGGCAGCGACGACGCCCGUGCCGCCGUGCUCGUCGUCGUGCCGGCGUGGAGCAACUCGCCACUCCUCAUCGAGCUGAACUGGAGCAGCGAGUUGCUGAACCGCGCACCGGCUUGGGGCAGUAACUGGCUCCGUCGGGCCAAGCGAGGUAGGUGAAGCACCGAGCGGCCUCGCUCAUAUCCGGAGGGCUCGGCGGGCCACCCAGCCGGGUAGUAUGCCAAAGAGCGGCUCCUCGGAAGCCAUCAGAAGAGUGGAGAAAAUGGUGAAGGAGGAGAUGGGGGAGCGGCGGAGAGGUGUGAUUCUUGCCCGCUGUCUGACCUCAUUUAAAUAGAGGGCGGACAGUAGGAGCUUGGCCGGCAUCAGGCCUUGUUUAAACUGAGGGCAGACGGGAGGAGCUCGCCCGGCGUUGCAUUUAAUUCCGGCCCGCUCAUGAACGGACGUGUGGUCGGAGUAGGUUUCUUGGUUUGCAUGCGGGUUUAACGGAGGCGUUUGAUGGAGGCGAGGAGGCGUGUUCAGCCGGGCAUGCAACACAGUACUAUUCGAUUUGACAGCUACUAGUAAACCAGUACAGUUCUCAAUACGACUUUAAUGCAGACAAGGGAGAGGGUAGCGGUUCCUGAAAUGUUGAACGACCAAUGAUGCAUCCUCCUUCAAUUAGCAUCCUGAAUGCAUGAGGGAAGUAACGGGAGGAGGAUGGGGAAAAGAGGCAGCAAAAUGUGAAUGCUACGCAGUUUGCACUCAUAUAAAGGUGCCACUCAAUUCCAAUGCAUCUACCACAUCGUAUGCACCUAAGCACCUACACUAAGUGCAAAAGUGCUCACUCCAGACCCAUGGCGGCGAUGUGCACAAGUGGCCAGCGGUUGUGCCAGAUGGUCCACGACGCUGGCCUGCGGCAUGGCAUCGAGGAUCGUCUCCAAACGGUGUUGGCGACCGGCUGGUUCAUGGCCAUGAUCGACGCCAGCUACGACUCUCAGUUGGACCAGAUGAUCGUUGCCACCAUCAACAAGUUCACCGUCGUCAAGAAGCUCAUGGACGACAUCGCCGUACUCCUCCAGCCCGCGCGCCCGGGCUCCUCAUUGCCUGCCACCCUAAUCGGCAUCCAUGGCGAGAACCUCAUUCAAGCACUGGUGGCCCUGCGACUGCCCGCCGACGCAAUGAAGAAUGUCCACCUGGAGGUCGCGCUCGCCGCGAGGCGCCUCGCCCUGCAAUAAUUCGUUAACCUACACAUCCACGUGUAUGAGGAAGUCGUGUACAUGGGUAUCUACAAGGCCGGUGAGGAAGCUACGACGUUGGCCUUUGUCCAUCGUCUGGAAGUCUUGGACGCCUUUGUUGAGAAGCACCUUGACCUCGCCACAAAAGCCGCUACUACUAAGUCGCCGGUAGGUGGCCCGGCGCACUGAGUUGAGGAGGAGGAGGAGUUCAUACGUUGAUGGAUGCAUCUUUCUUCUUGCCUCCUGUAACCACCACUGUGAUUGCAUCAUCGUGCCCUUAUUUCUUAUUGUGCUAUUGCAUUCUCGUUCCAGUCAAUACAGACAUGUGUGAUCCCUUUGCUCAUAUUUGGAGGCAAUUAUAUGCAUCACUAUAACUAGUACUCCAUCCGUCAAUUUACAAGUCAUGCUUACCUUUUCCAUCAACUUCGUAAUUUAUGUUUGAUGGUUGAUCCGACCUAUGAACUACUCCUAAAUUCAAAAACUGAGACCGAACGUAUAAAUUCAAAAGUACUCGUGUAGCAUGCCUGUCACGUUCGCAAGUUCAAAACGAGAAACUGGAACACGUACAUGAAGCAUGUCCCUUCCCUGUUGCAUAUCACAUUGUCGCUCCGCCCCCCGGUGAACGUGCAUUGGCUAGGCUUUAUAUCACUACAACAUGUGGGACCGCAUGUGACCAAACCGACGAUGCACCAACCUAAGCUACUACCCUGCUUAUCUGGCGGGAAAAGCCCCACCCUAGCGUUUCCAAUCAUUAUUUCUAUCUAUCGAUUGUGCCAAGGAGCAGAACCAAAUGUUACAAUUUAUACAUGUUUCUCCACUCCCAUAAAAGACUCAGUUGGUGAUGGUGGUGUGUAUGCCAUCCGUCAUUUCUGACCAUUAGAUCUGCAUCUAAUGGCUGUGAGGUAAGUUGUAGCAUUUUUGCAACAAUAGCCCACUUCUCUGCUCCAAUGUGCAGAAAACCCCUUAUUAUCUUGAAAGCAACCACAUCCCUCCCUCACCUCAUCAAAAUAGCCUGAGAAAUAUAUUCUGAGUGAAAAGUAAUAUAUUUUUAGUGGUAUAUAUGUAUAUCAAAACAAGAGUGUUUUCUUUCAAGUUUGUGAACAAGUAAUAUUCUACUUUGGAUCCGUCGCAAUGCACGGGCACAUUGCUAGUAAAAGGAAAAGUCCUGCUACAUUCGCAUCGCACCCCCACACGCCCCGGAAUCGGGAGUACUCCACGGCCCGUCCGGCACGCCACAUACCUAGGGAAGGCGUGUUGCCUAGCAUUUUCACUUUGAUGUGGGACGGCAGUUGAGCAAACCGGCUAUCGGCAAACCGCACCCCGCCCGUUGCGUUGGAAAACAGAAACGAGGAGGGGAAGAAAUUUGGUGUCAGAUGGGAGUUGUUGAUAGAGUAGGAGCACUCCGUACUACACCUACUACAAAGUUUGUACUACUACUACUACUACCACUAUACAACUAGGUGCAUGCACGACACAACAUCGUAGGAACAAAAAAUGGGAAGAUCUUGUUUUGGGUGAUUUAUCUUUAUUUCAGUCAACGUAGUAUGUAUAAUAUGAUGUGGGGGGAACCCAUGAAGCCAUGUGGCACGUCUGGAGGUCUUAUUUAGAGCUUCUUGUGUGGAUCGAUCACACUGUCGUGCUAGUCAUUCGAGAAGAACGUGUAUGGGUACUUAUAGUAGAUCCAAAUCGCAACCACCUGGACCAUUGGAGCAACAUCAAUCAACGGUUUAUAUCAUGUACGUGCAAAUACACGCAUUGACUCCAGAAAAAUAAUGAAUAUAGAAUGUAUAAUACAUAUACCGCAUAUUGGGUUUCUCUAAAGUCAAACUUUGUAUACUUUCAGCAAUUUGUAGGAAAAUGUAUUAACAUAUACACCACCAAAUAUAUAUCAUUUGAUUCAUCAUUGCUUUUAUCUCCACAUCGUGUAAAUUUGUCAGUGUAAAUGUUCAUAUUGUUUUCACCAAAUUCAGUCAAGCUUUAUAAAAUUUGGCUGCAGUCAAAGCUAUACAUGUGCGGAGUAAAUUACAAACGGAGGGAGUGGAAUAGAUAUAGAUAUAACUAUACAAAUAAAAAAUAUAGUAAUAUAGUCUAUAGAUAUAAAUAAGGCUACUACCCUUUUUCUACGUUAGAACUCGCGUUGUUGUGUACACAUUGUUUUGUUUUCGCUAUAAUUUUCAUUUGCGGGGUGUGUGUAGGACUACUUCCUGUUGUUCAGUACCAACAACCCCACCAUUAUCCUUAAUUACUUCAUAUUGGCAAUUACGAUUGCAUUAUCUUAGUUCUAGCUGAUUCUUCAGUUGCUUGGAGGAACUCCAUCUCGUUAUUCAGGUUGAUUUUGUGCAUACGACAAGAUCAUCGUCCAUCGAAGGUUUGUUUAGUAACGAUUGUCGAUUUGUAUCACCGGGUACGAGAUAGCUGGAUCGUCAACGUCAAAAUCCACCAAGUCGAUACUUAUCCCACUCUCAUUGAAAGACUGGGGCGCCAUCAUAAGACUACCACCUAGACAAUUCCUUCACAUGUGCACCCAUCUCAUUAUUCAGGUCCACGCCUCCCUCUCUCUCUUGAAACACACACACCUCUCCACACGAUGUGUGUCUCUUGGUCUCUCUUCCAUCCCAUGACAAAAAGGCACACUGCCAUUCUCUUCUUCUUGCUGCCCCCGUCUAUUUAGUUAGGUCUCCUUGCAACAAACAAGCAUUCAUUUGUCUCUCUACUAUCUCUUUCUACCACACAUAACCUUCCACCCCUAGACAGCCAUGUUGUCGAGGUCUAUCCAGCUCUCUCACACGCAAACAGACGCUGUCAGUGUUUCCCUUCAUCACACACACUGUCGCUCUCCCAUAUCCGCAACCUCAUAACCUUGUCGAUCCCGACGUUACACGCACCUCUCUCUCUCUAUCUCUCUCUCUCUAUAUAUAUAUAACACCCUCUCUCUCCCUUUCGGACACUCCUCUCUCUACAACACACAAAGUCUUUCGAACACGCAUAUGCCCCUCUCUUGUUAGCUAUCGCUGCCCCCGCCCCCCUCUUUCUCACACAAAUAUUCUCUCUCCAUAUAUCUCUCGCAAUAAUACAUGCGUAGUAUAAAUUGAUGUUGGGAAUCGUUGCAUGGAAAACAAAAAAUUUCUACGCACACGCAAUGAUCUAUCCAUGGAGAUGCAUAGCAACAAGGGGGAGAGUUUGUCUACGUACCCUCGUAGACCGUAAGUAGAAGCGUUUAUCAACGCGGUUGAGUAGUUGUACACCUUCAUGAUCCGUCCCGAUCAAGUCCCGAACGUACGACACCUCUGCGUUCAGCACACGUUCAGCUCGAUGACAUCCUCGCCUUCUUGAUCCAGCAAGAGGGCGAAAUAGUAGAUGAGUUCCGGCAACACGAUGACAUGGUGACGGUUGGUGAUGAAGAGCAAUAUCCGCAGGGCUUCGCCAAGCACUACAUAAACUAGAUGGAGGAUAAACUAGAGGGGACGGGGUUGUCGGCACACGGCUUGGUGAAUCUUGAUGUGUCUUGGGUGCUAGCCCUGCCCCUCUAUUUAUAUGUUGAGCCUUGGGGUCAAACUUGGAGUAAAAGCCUCCUCAAAGUCGGUUUUGCCCGCAAGGAAGAGUCCUUCUCGGACUUCCAGGACCAGACGCCACAGUCCUUGGCGUCUGGCAUUUGGCCCCUGGCCUCCGCAAAACUCCUUUUGCACCAACUUAAAGCCCCGUGGGCCUUACCCCUUGGCCUAACCAUAUCAUCCUAUAUAUCAAUCUUUACCUCCGGACCAUUCCGGAGCUCCUCGUCAUGUCUGUGAUAUCAUCCGGGACUCCAAACAACAUUUGGUCACCAACAUACAUAACUCAUAUAAUAUUAUAUCGUCAACGAACGUUAAGCGUGCGGACCCUACGGGUUCGAGAACUAUGUAGACAUGACCGAGACACCUCUCCGGUCAAUAGCCAAUAGCAGAGCCUGGAUGCCCAUAUUGGCUCCUACAUAUUCUACGAGGAUCUUUAUCAGUCGAACCUUUAUGACAACAUAUGUAAUUCCCUUUGUCUAUCGGUAUGUUACUUGCCAAGAUUCGAUCGUCGGUAUCUUCAUACCUAGUUCAAUCUCGUUACUGGCAAGUCUCUUUACUCGUUCUGUAAUACAUCAUCUUGUGACUAACUCCUUAGUUGUUUGCUUGCAAGCUUAUGAUGUGUAUUACCAAUGGGCCCACAGAUACCUCUCCGAUACUCAGAGUGGCAAAUCCUAAUCUUGAUCUAUGCCAACUCAGGAAACACCUUCGGAGAUACCCGUAGAGCAUCUUUACAAUCACCCAGUUAUGUUAUGACGUUUGAUAGCACACAAGGCAUUCCUCCGGUAUCCGGGAGUUACAUAAUCUCAUAGUCGAAGGAAUAUGUAUUUGACAUGAAGAAAGCAAUAGCAAUAAAACUGAACGGUCAUAAUGCUAAGCUAACGGAUGGGUCUUGUCCGUCACAUCAUUCUCAUAAUGACGUGAUCCCAUUAUCAAAUGACAACUCAUGUUCAUUGUUAGUAAACCUUAACCAUCUUUGAUCAACGAGCUAGUCAAGUAGAGGCUCACUAGGGACACGGUGUUUGUUUAUGUAUUCACACAUGUAUUUAGGUUUCCGAUCAAUACAAUUCUAGCAUGAAUAAUAAACCUUUAUCAUGAAUAAGGAAAUAUAAAAUAACAACUUUAUUAUUGCCUCUAGGGCAUAUUUCCUUCAAUUGAAACCAAGUACAAAAAAUGAGCUCCGAUUACAGAAAUCAAAUCGACUACCAUAUGGAAUAAGAAAAUAGGGUGAAAUCGUGCACACAAUUGUUUGUUGCAUGCAUGAAUGUCAAUGAUAUGGAUGUACUACUCAUACAUCACACAUACCCAUUUCACACAAAUUACAUUAAACCCUUUUCAAAAUAUGGUCCGCAUGUGAUGUUUGUUGUACUGCUCCUGCCAGCCUUCCUCCGACACAUCCCAACAUAUUGUGCCACUUCCGAUUCUAUUUUUCUCCUCAGACCACGUGAAACCACGAAAAGGUCACCCCCUUCCCCCACUGGUAUUGUAGCUCGAAGCUCCCAUACGGACACAACACCCACCGGACCACGCAGCCGUUGCCGAAGUGGAUGGUGCCGCGGCCUGGGAAGAGGAUGGAGUCUCCGACAUCGCCGAGGUGGAGCACGCCCUCUACGGCCGCGAGUAGCGCGCGCUGACUUUCCAUGUGGAGGACAGUGUGAUCUAGCGGCUCGCCCUCGUCGGCCAUGAGGGGUAGCUGUGCUCCAGCAGCACACCCUGGUCAGUCAAGAGGAGGUGCAUCGCGUCCUCGCCGCUCACAAUGUGGAUAAGCGGGUUCUCCAGGAGCAUGCCUGCGAGCAUCGCAUUGUCGAGAGCAUGCCCGCGGACAUUGCAUCACCGCCGCUCUUGAUGUGGAUGAGCGCGUGCUCUGGCAGCACGCCCACGAACAUCGCAUCCUCGCUGCUCACAAUGUCGACGAGCGUGUUCUCCAGCAGCAUGCCCGCGAGCAUCGCAUCAUCGCCGCCUGCGAACAUCGCAUCAUCGGUGCUCUCGACGUGGACGAGCACGUGCUCCGGCAGCACACCCACAAAUAUCGCAUCCUCGCCGCUCAGGCACCCUCAUGGCUCAUGAGGUGGUUGAGCGCGUGCUCCAGACAUUACCCCAGGAGUCAGGACGUGAGCACCGCGCCCCCGGCUACGAAGAGUACUACAUGGUGCCCAUCGUGGUUUAGGAAAAUCCCGUGACUCCACCGCUCCCUGGAGGAGCGCGAGCUCCAGUGGGCGCUCGAGGAGUCCCGUGCCGAUAUGCAGGUGGCGGCGGACGUGCAAGAUUAUCCUUCGAGCUCUCCUCCUCUUACGAAGACGCCUCCACCACCCCCGUCAUACGUCCUCUGCCUCGGCUCCGGCGGACAUUUGGAGUUUAGUUUGAUCAAACAUUAAUAUUUUGACUAAUGCAAAAAACAGCCUAUGACUAACAGACAUAAAUACAUGACGUGGCGGCAUUGCAUGCUGGAGUAUAUUGCAAUUUAUGGAUUGCAUGCAUGACUAGCUUAUGUGGCUUGGUUGCAUGGCUAGGGAAGGCUAGAGAAAAAUAAAUAGAUAAUGUGUUUAGAGUGCACUCCACUAAAUGUGAGCAUGUAAGUAUCUUUAGAGUGCACUCCACUUUUUUUCAGGCGCUUAGGUGCACCGGAUGCCGUGCCAUGCUACAAAAUGUUAGAAUUUUUUUCACCAAUGUUGUAAAAAUCUAUUAUUAUCUUGAAACCAGCCACACCCACCCUAACCUCAUCAAACCAGCCCCGAGGAAUAUGUCUUCAGUGAAGCAUAAUUUAUUUUUACUGAUAUAUGUAUAUCAAAACUAGAGUGUUUUGAUACGUCUCCGUCACAUCUACUUUUCCAAACACUUUUGCCCUUGUUUUGGACUCUAACUAGCAUUAUUUGAAUGGAACUAACCCGGACUGAUGUUGUUUUCAGCAGAAUUGCCAUGGUAUUAUUUUUGUGCAGAAAUAAAAGUUCUCGGAAUGACCUGAAAAUCAACGGAGAUUAUUUUUGGAAAUAAUAAAAAAUACUAGCGAAAGAAUCAAGGCCGAGGGGCCCACACCCUAGCCACGAGGGUGGGGGCGCGCCCCCCUGCCUCGUGGGACCCCUGGAGCUCCACCGACCUCAACUCCAACUCUAUAUAUUCGUGUUCGGGGAGAAAAAAUCAGAGAGAAGGAUUCAUCGCAUUUUACGAUACGGAGCCGCCGCCAAGCCCUAAUCUCUCUCGGGAGGGCUGAUCUGGAGUCCGUUCGGGGCUCCGGAGGAGGGAAUCCGUCGCCAUCGUCAUCAUCAACCAUCCUCCAUCACCAAUUUCAUGAUGCUCACCGCCGUGCGUGAGUAAUUCCAUCGUAGGCUUGCUGGACAGUGAUGGGUUGGAUGAGAUUUAUCAUGUAAUCGAGUUAGUUUUGUUAGGGUUUGAUCCCUAGUAUCCACUAUGUUCCGAGAUUGAUGUUGCUAUGACUUUGCUAUGCUUAAUGCUUGUCACUAGGGUCCGAGUGCCAUGAUUUCAGAUCUGAACCUAUUAUGUUUUCAUGAAUAUAUGUGAGUUCUUGAUCCUAUCUUGCAAGUCAUUAGUCACCUACUAUGUGUUAUGAUCCGGCAACCCCGAAGUGACAAUAAUCGGGACCACUCCCGGUGAUGACCAUAGUUUGAGGAGUUCAUGUAUUCACUAUGUGUUAAUGGUUUGGUCCGGUACUCUAUUAAAAGGAGGCCUCAAUAUCCCUUAGUUUCCAUUAGGACCCCGCUGCCACGGGAGGGUAGGACAAAAGAUGUCAUGCAAGUUCUUUUCCAUAAGCACGUAUGACUACAUUCGGAAUACAUGCCUACAUUACAUUGAUGAACUGGAGCUAGUUCUGUGUCACCCUAUGUUAUAACUGUUGCAUGAAUAAUCGCAUUCGGCAUAAUUCUCCAUCACCGAUCCAAUGCCUACGAGCUUUUCACAUAUUGUUCUUCGCUUAUUUACUUUUCCGUUGCCACUGUUACAAUCACUACAAAACUAUUACCGUUACUUUUGCUACCGUUACCGUUACUUCCAUACUACUUUGCUACUAAAUACUUUGCUGCAGAUAUUAAGUUAUCCAGGUGUGGUUGAAUUGACAACUCAACUGCUAAUACUUGAGAAUAUUCUUUGGCUCCCCUUGUGUCGAAUCAAUAAAUUUGGGUUGAAUACUAUACCCUCAAAAAUUGUUGCGAUCCCCUAUACUUGUGGGUUAUCAAGACUAUUUUCUGGCGCCGUUGCCGGGGAGCAUAGCUCUAUUCUUUGAGUCACUUGGGAUUUAUAUCUGCUGGUCACUAUGAAGAACUUGAAAGACGAGAAAACCAAGAUUUAUCCCUCAACUACGAGGGGAGGUAAGGAACUGCCAUCUAGCUCUGCACUUGAUUCACCUUCUGUUUUGAGUAAGCUUGCGACACCUAAACCUGCUUCUGCUAUUAAUUCUGAUAUGUCGCAUGUUAUUGAUGAUGCCACUUCUGCUAUGCAUGAUACUUAUGAUGAAACUACUUCUAUGCUUGAUACUACUGUGCCACUUGGUGAAUUUCUUGAUGAACAAUUGGCUAGGGCUAGAGAGAAUGAAAUUAUUGAAACUGAUAAUAUUGAUGAAAGUGAUGAUGAAGAUUCUCCCCCUAGACAUGAAUUGCCUGUUGUGCCUGAGGGUUAUGUUAUGGAUUAAUAAUCUGCUAGAGACUUUCUUGCUUGCAAUAAUAGAAGUGAUCUUAAAAAAAUAUUAGCUAAGCUUAAAGAAAAAUCUUUGAAUGCUAGAAUGAAAUAUGAUUCUGCUUAUGCUACUUCACCUAUCUUUGUUACUGAUAAGGAUUAUGAUUUCUCUGUUGAUCCUGAGAUAAUUACUUUGGUUGAAUCUGAUCCUUUCUAUGGCUAUGAAUCUGAAACUGUUGUUGCACAUCUUACUAAAUUAACUGAUAUAGCUACCAUGUUCACUAAUGAUGAGAGAACUCGCUACUAUUAUAUCCUUAAAUUAUUUCCGUUCUCAUUAAAGGGUGAUGCUAAGAUAUGGUUUAAUUCUAUUGAUCCUGGUUGUGUGCGUACUCCCCAGGAUAUGAUUUAUUACUUCUCUGCUAAAUAUUCCCCGCUCAUAAGAAACAAGGUGCUUUGAGGGAAAUAUAUAAUUUUGUGCAAAUUGAAGAAGAGAGUCUCCCACAAGCUUGGGGGAGGCUUCUCCAAUUACUUAAUGCUUUGCCUGAUCAUCCUCUCAAGAAAAAUGAAAUACUUGAUAUCUUUUAUAAUGGACUAACCGAUGCUUCCAAGAGACCACCUGGAUAGUUGUGCUGGUUGUGUUUUCAGGGAAAGAACUGUUGAUCAAGCUGAAAUUCUAUUGAAUAAUAUGUUGGCCAAUGAAAAUAAUUGGACAUUUCCUGAACCAACUCCUAAGCCAACUCCGAAGAAAAGGGGUAUUCUAUUUCUCAGUCCUGAAGAUAUGCAAGAGGCAAAGAAAUCUAUGAAAGAAAAAGGUAUAAAGCUGAAGAUGUUAAGAAUUUACCUCCUGUUGAAGAAAUACAUGGUCUUAAUUUACCGCCUGUUGAAAAAAUACGUGGUUUUAAUCCAUCACCUAUUGAAGAAAUACAUGGUCUUGAUAAACCGACACAGGUAGUAAAGGUAAAUUCUCUCUAUAGAUAUGAUAAAGCUGAAAUCCCUCCUGCUAAGUUUGCUAGCCAAUGCUUAGAUGAGUUUGAUAAUUUUAUUGUCAAACAAGAAAACUUCAAUGCUUAUGUUGGUAGAGAAUUAAAACGCAAUGCUUAUAUGAUUGAACACUUGGGCGAUUAUAUGUCUAGAGUUGAAGGUGAACUUAAACUCAGUAGUAAACAUGCUUCUAUGGUUACCACUCAAGUAGAACAAGUACUUAAAGCUCAGAAUGAUUUGCUCAAUGAAUUAAAUAAUAAGAAGAAUGAUAAUGCUGUUAGAGUUAUGACUAGAGGGGGUAAAGUGACUCAGGAACCUUUGUAUCCUGAAGGUCGACCUAAGAGAAUUGAGCAGGAUUCUCAGAGAACUAAUGUAGAUGCACCUAGUCCUUCUAAAACAAAGAAAAAGAAAAAUGAUAGGACUUUGCAUGCUUCUAGUGAACCUGUUGUAGACACACCUGAGAAUCCCAAUGAUAUUUCUAUAUCAGAUGCUGAAACACAAUCUGGUAAUGAACAUGAACCUAGUGAUAAUGUUAAUGAUGAUGUUCAUGUUGAUGCUCAACCUAGCAAUAAUGAUGAAGUAGAGAUUGAACCUGUUGUUGAUCUUGAUAACCCACAAUCAAAGAAUCAACGUUAUGAUAAGAGAGACUUUGUUGCUAGGAAGCACGGUAAAGAAAGAGAACCAUGGGUUCAGAAACCCAUGCCUUUUCCUCCCAAACCAUCCAAGAAAAAGGAUGAUGAGGAUUUUGAGCGCUUUGCUGAAAUGAUUAGACCUAUCUUCUUGUGUAUGCGUUUGACUGAUAUGCUUAAAAUGAAUCCUUAUGCUAAGUAUAUGAAGGAUAUUGUUACAAAUAAAAGAAAGAUACCGGAAGCUGAAAUUUCCACCAUGCUUGCUAAUUAUACUUUUAAGGCUGGAAUACCUAAGAAACUAGGAGAUCCAGGAGUACCAACUAUACCAUGCUCCAUUAAAAGAAACUAUGUUAGAACUGAUUUAUGUGAUCUUGGAGCCAAUGUUAGUGUUAUGCCCCUCUCUUUAUAUCGUAGACUUGAUUUGAAAAAGUUGACACCUACUGAAAUAUCUUUGCAAAUGGCUGAUAAAUCAACUGCUAUACCUGUCGGCAUUUGUGAGGAUGUGCCUGUUGUAGUUGCAAAUGUUACUAUUCUAACGGACUUUGUUAUUCUUGAUAUUCCCGAGGACGAUAGUAUGUCUAUUAUUCUGGGAAGACCCUUGUUGAAUACUGCAGGGGCUGUUAUUGAUUGCAACAAAGGCAAUGCCACUUUUCAUGUUAAUGGUAAUGAGCAUACGGUACACUUUUCGAGGAAACAACCUCAAGUUCAUAGCAUCAAUUCUAUUGAAAAAUUCCAUCGAUUAUUUUUGGAGGUUUUGAAUUUCCUCUUCCUACUGUCAAGAAGAAAUAUGAUAUUCUUAUUAUUGGGGACGUGCAUAUCGCCGUUGAGGUAACAUAGUGUUAUUCGAAAUUUCUCUGGUUUCAUGUUAUUCGAAAUGAGUUUGUUAACAAGACCUGAUCAACCUUGUUAGUAGAUUCCUUUUGAUGAGCAUGAGAUGGAUGAAGUUAGAAGGCACAACCUUCUGUACCCCUCUUUUACUUUCUGUAAAUUAGAUUAAAUAAAGCAAAAAUAGUAUUUUCUGUCAGUUCUCUGAAUUAUCCGUGCAAUAAUAAAUACCCGAAAAUAAAAGUUCUCCAAAUGCCCCGAAAUUGAAAUAUGACUUUUUCUGGAAUAUUUGAGAAUAUCUUGCACUGAGAACACAGUAGGGGGAGCAAGGACCUGGCCACGAGGGUCCAGGGCGCGCCCACCCCCUGCCUCGUGGGCCCAUGGUGGCUCCCCUCCACUUAUUUCAGCAACCACACACUCUUUCUUCCUCCCAAAAAAAUCACCAACCAGCUCAAGCACGAGUUCUUGCUCAUUUUGCUGCCAUUUUCGAUCUCCUUGCUCAAAGCACCUCUCACAAAACUGCUUUGGGGGAUUCCUCCUUGGUAUGUGACUCCUCCAAUGGUCCAAUUAGUUUUUGUUCUAGUGCUUUAUUCAUUGCAAAUUUUUGCUGCCUAGGUGACCAUGUUCUUGAGCUUGCAUGUCAAAUUUAUAUGGUUCCAAGUAGUUGUAAUGCAUGAUAUAGUCUCUAGGCACUUGUGGGAGUAGUUGCUAUCAAUUUUGUUGAGUUUGGUUCACUUUUAUUUGAAGUUACUAAAAUUUUCACAAAAAAAUCAGAGGAAGAAUUAUGUUUAGGAAAAUGUACCAAGGUGGUCCUUCAAGGAAGCAAGGACCCAAGCUCGCAAUACGCGAUGCGGACGGUGAGCCACCAAGGGAAGCUCAAGUGCGGGCUUGUGAAUGGCCGUCAGAGGACUUUAUGGAUCGAGCAGGAAUUAAGGAAGAAUUUAACGCAUAUGUGCGUAACGCUGAUCUUGUGAGCUUCGAGGCAGAUAAGUGCCAUCAGUACCACUAUCUCACUGAUUCCUUUGUGAGAAGGUUUGAAUUUUCAUCAUCACGCAAUUCUCAAACUGUCCUGUUUGAUCUUUAUGAAAAUUCUUAUACUAUGGACUUAGAGGAUUUUAAUACUGCUUGCAAACUUCCACAAUGGGGUAGCACUAGUGAGCCUCGGAAAUCUGAGUUUAGAGAUUUUCUUGCUAGUAUAACUGUGGGGGAGUCUAGAGAUAUAACACAAGCUACCAUAGGGAGCAUUCAUUUUCCUGCUAUACAUUAUUUUGCUCUCUUCAUAGGUAGGUGCAUAAAUGGUAAGGAUGAAGCAGGUCACAUGUGUGUCCCUGACCUCAGUGUUCUUAGGAGUGCUGUAUUAGGAGAUAAGCAUUAUAAUUUGGUAGCCAUUGUUGCACGUAGGUUGCAUAAUAAUAGAAUUAAUGGAGAUUUAUUUGGUGGCAUCUAUGCAACCCGUUUAGCUAAUUUUCUUGAUAUACCCAUAUGUGAGUAUGAUGUUGAGUUGCCUCCUGUUUACUUAGAUUAUGAAGCUAUGGUUUGUCAUCAUUUUGUUGAGAGGAACGAUCCGUUCCUCCAGUACCGACUAAUCUUUGACAGACGACGCACCUAUCACGUCGCUCUCCCUGCUCCUACUUUCUUUGACUUUCAGGCAAAAGGAGACAUGUUAUAACCAGGGAGGAGGCAAACGAGUACGAGAGGAGGACUGAGACAGCUCACCUCCAAGCUGCAGCCCACGAUGCGAUAGCCGUUGCAUCUCAGUACGACCCCAACUACAACUUUGGAUAUCCGCCAGCCUAGCCAUGGCAAUAGACCAACUUAGGCCAAAAGCCUAAGAUUGGGGGAGCACGUAUCUCUCACCGACAUUACAUUCAUGUUCACACACUCAUUGCCAGUUGUCGGUGCUAAUACUUUUUCACUAUAUUAUCCAUGCUAGUUUAUUUUCUUGUUUUCUUCUUGUGUGUUUGAAAAACCUUAAGAAAAACCAAAAAAAA